RNAcentral lists this long non-coding RNA (56463 nucleotides) under Selaginella moellendorffii. The record is from RNAcentral. Lineage: Eukaryota; Viridiplantae; Streptophyta; Lycopodiopsida; Selaginellales; Selaginellaceae.
GAUGUCAAUCGACCAACCUACGAUGCGAUCCGAGCCCACGACAAGGAUUUCUACGCCGCGCUCACCAAGACUGGAUUCAUGCUCGACUUUGGCGACGAUGACUCGGGGCUCUUCAUGAAGUACCUCCGCCGUGGAUCCGGCUACUACAUCGACGUGGGCGCAUCCCAGCUGUUGAUCGACGGCGAGAUCAAGCUCCGCAGUGGCGUCACCAUCGCGUCGCUCAAGCCGAGCUCGGUGGUGCUGAGCGACGGUACGGAGAUCGCGGCCGAUGUGGUGAUUCUGGCCACGGGGUACGGAUCCAUGAACCAAUGGGCCGCGAAGCUAAUCUCCCAGGAGGUGGCGGAUCGCGUGGGCAAGUGUUGGGGGCUGGGAUCGAACACGCGCAAGGAUCCCGGGCCGUGGGAGGGGGAGCUCCGGAAUAUGUGGAAGCCCACCGCGCAGGAAGGGCUGUGGUUCCAUGGUGGGAAUCUCCACCAGGCUCGUCACUACUCGCUCUAUCUGGCGCUACAGCUCAAGGCGAGGAUGGAGGGAAUCACGACCCCGGUGUAUGGCAUGCCCAAGGUCCACCACCUCAGUUAAGUCAAAUCAACUAGUCAAAUUUGUCAAUGAUAGUCAAACAUUUAAAAUUUGAAAAAAGUAAUCCGGUAUGAUCAGCUUCUUAGGUUUUGCUAGCGCCCGUGGUUGCAGGGCGCAGCGCACAUCUGAAGCAUCACUUCCUGGGGAACGAUGCUCGUCCCACAGCAAUCAACGUUACGCAGCGGAUUUUUGUCAGCUGCAAGAGACGAGGAGCACUCACUGGAGGGAUUGCGGCCAGGCCGGAAUCAUGCAGAUGAAGCUGAAUUAGUGGCAUCGCUUCUUAUCCACUACUUCUGGCGCUAAGACGAAUUAUUUUCCAUUAAACAAAGUUUAGGUGGAUCUUUUUGUUGGCAGUUGUACCAUCAGGAAAAAAAGGAAAGUUGAAUCUAGUUCUUUGUUUCCUUGAUUGGGAUGAGCUAGAGAAAGAAGACAAAGAGUACACAUGAUAUACUCAUAACUCCCCUUAUAUAUAAAGAAAUAUAUAACAUAUAACACAGCUCUUCAACUGAUUUGGAGGGCAGUAACAGAGCAAGCAUAUUAGUGAGCACCUCAUCAAAGGUUUUGGUUGUGACAUGCCCAAAAGCAACAAGCUUGAACAGGCACAAGUCAAUUUAAAAGCACUAUUAGAGAGUUACUUCAAAACUAGUUUUUAAACCUCAUUAUCCCUACUAUACUUUUGGUACCCCCCCUCCACAGAUCCACCGUGAGAUAGGAUGUGCAGUUCCCCAAAGAGGAGAAAUAUUUUAGCUCACCAGAUCCAGCGCGGGGGUAGAAGGCGCUGAAUUUGCCUUCCAAUUCUAGUUUCUUACCAGACAAGGAAAUGGCCAGGCCUCGCACGAAUUUCUGAACCGCUGGAACGAUCGCCAGCGCUCCCAGGACGUGCGAGAAUUUUUAAAGAGACCCCUCGCGAAUCAAGACCCACCAUAAAUCCAAAGUAAGCUGAGCAUAGGCUGGAUAUCCAGAUCUAGGGCUGGGCGAUUUAGGAGGAGAAAGGGUCGCUAUGGCGAGUGAUGAGGAUUUUGUGGUUCUUCUCAGGGCCAAAGGGCCAGAUCUACCAAAGGGAGUUCUUGAUCGAGAUGGUGAGGGUGUGGAAUACUCGUUCGUGGGGCCUCGGCGCUAUGCAGAUGGAAAAUCUCUCUUGGAGUACUUAGGCGAUGGGCAGUAUUACGUUGCCAGGGAACAUCAGGGGAGGUAUGGAUGGCAGGAGCUAAUAGCGGAGCUACAGCGUGUGCCAAGAGUUGCGGAUUGUAUCCAUGUCUUCGAAAAAGGUAUAACGUCUUUGUGUUUCUUUUGAUCUUAGAGGGGAUCUUGGCUUAUUUUGUUGUUGGAAAUCUGAUGUUCUUCUAACGCACAGGUAAGAUUGGAGCGUGGCUAUCGCUGUGGUGCCUUGAUCUUUUGUCUGACUGCAUCGUUUGUCGUUCCUUCUAAACACUAUCUUUUGUGAUUUUGCAGUGGCGAGAAGAGAGCCCAUUACCAAAGGUACUGAACGUCUGUUCAGUAGCGUCCUUUAUCAAUACCGUUUGUUUGUUUUGCAGGGCUUCUUCAGAAGUUUGGAGAUAAACUCUCCUCUGUCGUUGCUGUCGUCCAACGCACAGGUAGGAUUAUUUUUGUCUGAUUGCGGUUUGUCUAAACUGUUUUUUAAAAUUUUUUUAUUUUGCAGUGAGAAGCAAGCCCAUUACUAAAGGUAUUGAACGCGUGUUUGUCCUUUAUCAAUAGCAUUUGUUGUGCAGAUGUUGUGGAAGCUAUACUACAGACGUUUGGCGAUGACCUCUCAGACAGCAUUUCCAGCAUGACCCCUGCGCACGCGUUCAAAAGAAAGUUCUCGCUCACCAAGGUUCCAAUUUGCCAGAUAAACGUUUCGGGACGUUGGCAACCGAGUCUUUUGUGGCAUGGUCUGGAGCAGCCUCUUGGUUCUAGAGAUAUUCUUUCAUUGUUGAGAAUCAGCAACCCCAGUCUUUUGAUUCUAUUCGACGUCUCCGGAGCCGGAAAGACGCGUUGCUUAUACGAGAUUGCGGCACAGCAGACCUGUCUUUACUUCACUGGCGUGUGUUCCGGUUCUCCUACUGCUGAUGGCUCCCGGGACCUGUUGGUCGUGUCCGAGACACUGCAGAGGCUGUAUCCAACAGGUCCGAUUCCAGUUUCAUCCCUCAAGACCUGUUUGAGGGCGGUGCUCCUGUCAAGGCUUUUCAUUCACCGCAAAUGUGACGACCUCCUCAAGCCACUGAGCAAUUUGACAUUUCUUUUCAAGCAGGUUAUGCACCAGCAGCUCAACUAUACUCAGGCUGACCCUUGGGCCCAUUUAACCGGGUGCAUCUUGGCGCUGGCGACGUCAGUUGAUGAUCUUCCUGCAUUGGAGUCCGUGUUGAGCAAGAUGCUCCGUGCGUACACCUGGGACUGGCCGAUUAUUUUGGACGAGUGCCAGGAGGUGAACAGAUAUCUGAAAGACAGGUUCAUGGCAGGAGAUGGGGAGACGGGCAGCCUUAGACGAUCAAUGCUUGAUAAGUUUGUUAUUGCUCUCCAGGAUGCUGGGUUCAACAACAAAGUAAUCUUUGCUGGCACUGGGAGAUCGCUGUAUCAUGUGGCCACUCACAUCUCCGAGGUAUAUUGUAUGCGUUCCUGCGUUUUAUGGCUAAUGUUUGUGUCCAUAGACUAUGAAAUUCCGUGUGAGCAUCUAUUGGUAUACAACCUUUGGCGAGUUUCGGGAUGGUCAGGCCCUGCGGCAAUAUGCUAGCAACAUAUUGGAGGAUUGCAGCAUCAUUGACUUUGAGAGGCUCGGGGUGCUGUACAGAGGAAGAUAUCGGACGUUUGUUACUGCUCUUGAGCAGUAUAUCCUUUUUAACCCGCCUGCAACCGCAGCUACAGAGUUUUUCUUGAAUUAUGCCAAAGAGACAACAUCCAUGAGGUAUGUGAAAUUUCGCCAAAAGCGGCAGAGCUUCUCGACUGAUGAUUGGAAUGUUACAGGGGUGUAUCUUGGACGGGACCAAGCAAGAGGAUAAGUCCUGCAGAUAUUAUGAACACAGUGAACAGGACAGUGCUUGAUGAUGUCUACCGAUUUUUUUCAGGAGUCCCGAGUGAUGAACUGGCGGCAGUGAAGGCUCUAGUUCAAUCAGUUGUUGCGAACCACUUCUUCGGUACAGGAAAGAUGGUCGUGAUGAAUCCAACGUUAUCACUGGUGGAGUUUGGACUUGGGAGAGUCCAGUAUAAAGGACACAGGCUGAUGAAGUGGAUGUAUCAACAUCAAGACGGAAUUAUUGGCCAUUCUGACACAAGUGAAAAAUGCCGAGCUGUAGAGAUCUUCGAGCCGCUGGUCUGUCGUGCCCUGUGGCACUAUUAUCAGGAAAAUUCCUCCUUGCAACGGAUCCAGCAGCAUCGUUUUCUGGAGAAGGCCGAAAUAUAUGCCAGUGCUACAGGGGAGGUUUAUGAAACUGCAGUUGCUGAGAUGAUUGGGGAGCACUUAGAUGGAAGGUGUCUGGCCGACCUUUUCUCAUCGUGGAACACGGAGCCGAUUCCGUCCAUCUACAACAACACUGCAACUCUUGCUAGGCCGAAGAUUGAUAACCAGAACCUCAUCGGGACAGAGACGGAGGACUUUCGAUUAAUCGAUUGGAUAAACAGCGUUACUAGUGGUAAAGACAACUUCUUUACUUUCUUUUCGACAGGCAUGAAUAAGACUUGCGGGCCAGAUAUAUGGUGGUUUCUGACAGUUACGGAAGUGGCAAAACCGGCUGUAGGUGAGCACGCAGACAAGCUUCAAUGCACCGGUGUGCCAGUGACAACUUUCAUCAUAUGUGCAGCGCAAUUGAAGACUCUCCAGAAAAUGGCAAUGGGUGACUAUGUGUCUUCGUUGGAUUUCAACAAGCUCUUUUUGCACAAGGGUGGUCAAGGAUAUAAAUUAGUUGUGAAGAGAAAAGAGGAUGAGGAAGGUGCGAAGCGAGUGAGGGAACUUGCAAGGUUUGGGUGUCUCAAGCUUGUGGUGAUGACAGAUUUUGUAGAUUUGAUGAAGUUCCAGCCAAAGGUUCAACACGCAGCAAAGUUGGAAAAAUUGAACACACAUUGUGAACAGGAACAAAUUUCGGCAUUACUUGGGGUUAUUGAUGGUACAAACAUUUGCAUGUUUGACGAGGAAUGGUUGAUUGACAGUGUUAAGCAAUGUAAUUGAAUAAAAAUCUUUCUUUCUUUUAAGGUAUAUCUAACUAUUACUUAUUUUGCAUAAUAUUGGACAUUAAAAAUGUGGACAUAAAAACUAAAGCUGGUGUUCUUGGAAAUUAGAGCAAAGAAAACCACUUGGAAUUCAACACAAGAAUUGAAAGUUGAGCUUGGACAUCAAUCCCAAAGAGGAGCUUGCAAAGAACAAAGUUGCAUUUUCAAUGGUGAUCUUGCAUCUGAAGCAUUCUAGAUUAGGAAUGUGUCUACAAUGUUUUCUUCAUCACCUAACUUAGUAUGAAGAGGUUGGUGUUUUCAAGGCACAAAAGGUGGUGAUACUCAAGGGAGAUUUGAGGAUGACCAUAUGGUUUCAUUGCCAAUGAAAUACUCCUUUAUCCCCUCCUUGAAGGAAAAGAAAAUUUGAAACACUAGCUCUAUUUGGACUAGUUAUGUUGUUUUUACCUUAUUACCUAUAUUCACCCUCACUCCAUUAUCAUAUUUGUUAAGGUUAAAUAUUCUGUUUGGACUAACUAUGGUUGUCUUCACUCCAGAAUUUAUAUAAUUCAUCCUCACUUAACUACUAUAUUUUCUUGUCCAAGAGUCUAACCCCAAAGAUAAAGUGUAUCCAUCCUUUCUAACCCUUCCUUCAAAAUAUAAAAAGUUUGAAGCAUUAAGGCAAAGAGGAGAAAGUGAGAAAAUUGAGAAAGAAACAUUGAGAAAGAAAAAAAGUGGAUAAAGACGCAUUAAAAAAGGAAUUUUUAAAAGAAAAAAUGAGAAAUAAAAAGAAGGAAAUAUGAAAGCCUGAAGAAUAGGGAACCUAUUAUAAAUACUUCACACCACAAGCUAAGUAGGAGAUUCAUACUGUUGAAACUCCUCAAUACACAACUCAAUAGUUAAAAUGGAAAAAUCAAUAGAAAAGUCCACACUUUCAAUAAAACAUAUAAAUUCCUUAACAACAACGUUUAAACAAAAAGUUUUCAAUAGCACUUAUAAUUGGGAACAUGCACUCAAUUUGAAACUUUGGUAAAAGUGACUCAACCUUUGGAAUAAAUUCAAUAAAAUAAAAGCAAGAUUCUUAAUCUCAUGCAUAUGCUCAAUAUCCGAAGUAGUAUAAGGAAGACAAAAUACGCUCAACUCAACACUAAAUUAAGAGUGAGAAUCAUAAGUCACAAAUGAUCAAUAUGCUAGGAAAAUGAAAUAUUACAAUUGAGAAGGAAACACUAGGAACAUGAGAAGGUGGUUUAUGCCAAGAAAUAAAAAAAGGUUGGGAAAGAGCAUAAAGCAAAGAGAAAGGAUCAAGUGGCAAAUUAAAUAAUUAACACCUACUCUAUAAAAUCUUUAACUCAUCUCUUAAGCUAUUCUCAAAGUAAUCAAAUUCCUUGUUAGUAGAAAUCCACUUAAGCUCAUAAAUAGCAUCUUUUUAUAAUCUUAAUCCUCAAACAUUCUCCAAAAAAUGGAUUUCAUCAUUCAUUGCUUUCUAAUUGAUGUCACAACACUCUAUAUUACUAGGAGACAGCAAGACAUUGAGAAUCAGAGAAGCUAUGUAAUCAUGUCCUAUAAAAGCUGAACAUGGCAAUACACCAAGGAUUGAAGCAGCACUAAUUGGAUCAUGUUAUUUGGCACCAAAAGCUUGAUCUAAAAAGGAUAUAACCACAAAAAUAACAUUUUUGGGUGAUAACAACAACAUAUCAUCUAUAAUCUUGGAUGACAAACUCCUAAAUCAAUAAUAGCAUGGCAUCGUAGAAGAAGAGAAUGCAAUGAAGAUAAAAAAAAAGAAUAGAUUAGAUAGUUACAAUCCUAGAUCUGAGAAAAAGCUAAUGUAGAUCUAUCUACAUUAGCUUUUUCUCAGAUCUAGGAUUGUAACUAUUGUAUCCAAAAGUGAAAGAACAAAAAAUAUGAUCUUGAAAAUUGAGGAAAACACUAUUGAAAAGCUUUGCUCUCUAGGAUAAAUUGCAAUCCCCCUCACUUGCACCAAUGUGAGUGCUCAAAAUAUGGAAUAAGUAUAUCAAUUGUGAUUUAGACCCCUUGGACAAUAUAAUACUAUAAUUAGUGGAUUAUCUAUGCAAAGUAAAACAUUAAUAUACAUACAUAUAUAUUUAUAGACCUUACAAUACCUAAUUCUUACUAAAUAAUUUAAAAUUUGAAAGUGUAGAAGAAAAAGAGUGAUUUGUAAGGAAAAUAGGCUAUCUCAAUUGAUUUUAUUAUGCCAAGCAUAAUGUCAAACUCCCACUCCUUGAUAAACCAUCUACUAUGGGAACUCACUUACAGUAGAGUCAUUAGAAGAUUGCAACUGUGAUUAAUUCCUUGGCCUUAGACCAAAAGAGCUUCGUGCAUUAUAUGCAUCAUACAAUACCUCAAGCAGCCAAAAAAGAAAUACUUGGGGUUCAUCACCCUAGGGGAUUUUGAUGUUCCAAUGUAAAUUGCUUAACAAUCUAGCUCAUGGUCCACAAGUUCUGGGUAGCUAAACUCACACAAUUAAAUUGUUGUUAUGUUGGGGAAGGAUCCAUCCUUGUUAUGAUUCGGCAUUAAAAGACAAAGAUCUAGUCUUCUUAAACUAUGCUAUGCUUCUCUUUUAAGUUUCUCACCACCUAACCACCCCCAAACUAACUCAAAAGCUCCACUACACCACUACAGGUUAAGUUCGUUACCCUACUGAAGACCUUAAUAUACCCUUGUGUUAUGAUCCAUUGUGAAAAAACAAAGAACUAAUCUCCCUAGACUAUGCUAUGCCUUUUCUUGAGGUUUUUUACCACCCAACUCCUCAAAAGCUCCAUUACGCCACCAUUCCAUUAUGAGCCCUCAGGUAAGUUUAGUUCCUUACUUUAAUAUGCCUUAAUAUACCCUUGAGCUUCUUUUUAACUGACAUUGACCAUGUGGUCAAAGCUCGUGCCUAACAAUUCUUCCCCCCUAACAAAGUCCUUGUCCCAAGGACGAUGUCCAUUUUCUACAGCCAUAUACAUCAAAGAGGCAUUAUGCCCAUCACUCCAGGAUAGUAUACCUUUCAAUUGGCUGAUAUAAAAUACCAAAUAUAUUGGUAGCCGCAUCUGAUAAGUCACCUUAUCAAUGCACUCCAAUGAGAAAGUUUAUCACUCUUCCCAUUCCACAAAGGCACUAAAGUGUUCUACCGCUCAUUUGACGAAAAGAUCAUUGGCACAAAAACGAUAUCACACACCUUAUAUUCCCGAAAUUGGCGAUGUUCAUUAGCAAACUUCUCCACUCUAUCCCUUUAUCCUAUGGCGAUUUACCAUAGGAUACCACCACGAAGCGGAACCUAAACCCUCUUUGUGCCACGUGACAGAUGCCACGUGUCACAUACCACGUGUCCAUAGGAACCCGAGGUUCAGGGCCUUGGGCCACUGAACGAAGGAACGGUGCCAAACUCCCAAGCGUGACGCCAAGGAGUGAUGGAACCGGACCAUGGAGCAACUCCCGAGCAUAUAGCCCAAGGAGCGAAGGGACAGGAGCCCGGAGCGACUUGGAAUAGUCCUGGAGCAACCAACAUCCCAAUGCCAAGACCAGCACGCAAAACGGAGCCAAACAAAGUCUGGCGCUAUUUCGGCAUACCGGUGGCCUAACACGAGGAUAUGGGUACUCCACCAGCUAGCAUGGAAUGGAACUUGGGCUUAGACCCAAGCCGGACGCAAAACAAGGACAGGCACGCAAGCGGGAGCUAGACUAUGCCUCAGGUUGGUCGGCCAUGCCCGACCUACCCACUAUCCCUACUAUACAUUUGGAACCUCCCAUAGCCCCCCCCCCUUGAGGAACACAUGCUUUGGGCUUUCACCCCAAGCCUCCCUUAGUAUCAGGAGUUAGUCUCAGGGACAAACUCGAAACUUACUAAAUAUGGAAUGUCCUUAGAUUGCGAAUUUGGACACGGGACGAACACCAUUGUGUUCAGGUCGAUCUCUACAUUCCGUAGAUAUGCCAAAUGAGCAAAUCUGGACACUUUCCAUAAAUAGCAUUUGGGACCGAAUGAGACUAACACAAAGGGCAUGAUAGCGAGGGUGUUUGGCAGACACGGUAAGCUAUCAUCCAGCGAUAUUGAGGGACUAAUCUCAAUACGCGUGAGUUCUUGCCAAGCCAGUGCAAGACAGAGCAAAAGAGAACUAAGAGCCAGGCUGAGAAUGCUCAGCUAGAAACACAUAGGAGUUCCUACCUUAUGUUCAUCUGGCUAAGUACAGAUGCAAAGCCCAGUAAGCUAACACUUGGACAAGAGGGGCUAAUAAAGGGAACCAGCAAUACCGACCUCCUGCCAUCAUGGCAGUAAGGUAAGAGUGUCCGUAAGGACUAGCCGACAGGUAACUUUCAAUACCCGAAGUCACAUUCGCGACACUCUCCCCCCCUUGGGAAAAUCGACGUCCUCAUCGAUGCAUACUCGAGUCUAGAAUACCGCCAAGGAAACAACUCCAAAAAAAGUUCACGGUACUCACACUAUGUGAGAAAUGCACCAACUUAAAUGAGUUAGGGAGCAACCUCUUUGUCUAACGCGGAUGUGCUACCAGCUCAGACACCUUCCGGCCGUCGCCGACAAGGAAAUGACCAACGGAGUCAGCCACCCUUGCUGCUCUGAGAGUCACCCAGCUUACAAAAGUGUGAUAUGCCCUGCCCGCGGGAACAUAGAGAGAGAAGCCAGAGGCCCCAACCCUCCUAAGCAAAGAAACCAAACCCGUCGGUAAGGUUUAGAUAGACUACUGUAAACAGGCAGUUAGAGUUGUUUACACAGUCACGCCCUUUCAACGGACUAAGGAACAUCGACAGAGAGGCGGGUUAUGUGACCAGUCGACAGUAGCUACCCCAUAACGAGAGAUUUCACCAUGCACACGAAGUGCCGAAGCCAGUCUGCCUAUACUGGCCCAAACUCAAAGAUCAAUAUAUGAACUAUAUCAAAGUCAUAAACAAUGAUAUCUUAGAGAUUUAAUUAUCAGUGAAUAAAGCUUAAAUUAGAACACAAAGUAUUCCAAGUAAGUUAUCAUCCGAUAAACCAGUAUGAGAGUAUAAAAGUCACCAAGAUCAUCAUAAUUGGUAAACAUAGGAAUGACCAUCCAACAAAAUUCAAUAGCAAGUAUAUCAUCAAGGAAACUCAAUGAUGAAACUUAACUAUCGAAAAUGGUAGAUAGAAUGCCAAACAACUUACGAAAGAUAACUCACAGAACACAGAGUAUCAUUGACUGGCAAACAGAAUGCUCGCGAAUGUAUCACCUAAAGAUAAUAACAUUCCAAUUUAUCAGAAUGAACUCGAGCAAUAAUCCACAAAACAGAAUGAAUGGGGUAAGACCAACAAACACUCAUUCAUGCCAACUAUCGCACUCGCCAAUCUGAAUAGAUCCUGGUCAAUAAUACCAAGGAACUCAAGUUGCCUAAGCAAGUGUCAGCAACAUCCUAUCGAUAUCUCAAACCCAAGAGACCAAUCUAGAGCAAACCACAAAGAACAUGUGGUAUUGCAAAAAGCCAUAAGCCAUCAAAGAGAAUAACUAACCAUCAUGAAAGAUCAUCAAUCAUCCCAUCAAUAAAGAGAUGCAUAAUCAUCGUUUUGUAAGCAACCAAAGGGAACGACUCGAGAGACGGUCCAUGGGGUUCAAAUAUAGAGGGAAAAGGCCCAUGAACAAGAGUGCACCCCCUUUUCUAAUCGGUUAAGGGUCUUGGGAUAGUUGGAGUUAAGCGUCCUUGGGUUUGAAUAGUACUGGGAUGGGUGACCUCCUGGGAAGUCCAAACUCAGGAGCUUACAUUUAGUAUUAGAGGGGUCUCGGGUCCGACUCUGUUGGUUGGCUAGGGGAAUCGCACCACAUGUUGAUUGACAUCUGGCUGGUCCAGUUUGCUCCCACUGGGCUCGACCCGAGGGGUAGGGUGUCAAGAGAGCGGGGCUCUCGGGAGAGCUGCGGCUCUCAGCUUCCGUUCACGAGGGCGUGAAUUUGCAGGGAAGCAUGGUGGAUUGUAAGCAACCAAAGGGAACGACUCGAGAGACGGUCCAUGGGGUUCAAAAGAGGGAAAGGGCCCAUGAACAAGAGUGCACCCCCUUUUCUAAUCAGUUAAGGGUCUUGGGAUAGUUGGAGUUAAGCGUCCUUGGGUUUGAAUAGUACUGGGAUGGGUGACCUCCCGGGAAGUCCAAACUCAUGAGCUUACACGUUUAAGAAGGAAUCCACCAUCCCGAAGAACGGCAAACCAUUCUAUAUCAACAAUAAUCAAGCAAAACUUUUUGACAAGGAUAAUCAACUAUCCUAGAUGAUAGUCAAUCAUCACCAAUGAUUGCUAGAUGCAAAUACUAACUUUAACAGCGAAGCUAAAGAGCCAAAAAUGCCUUCUCCCCAACAACUUUUAACAAAUGGAACAAUGAGCAUAAUAAACUCAAAGGACCAAAAGUUUGAAGAAGCCUAUAGCCAAGUCUUGCCUAACAAUGAUCACAAGUCUCGCACGAACUAACUUCAAUGUUAAAGAAGAAAUCAUGGUAGAACCACAAUAUCCCCUUCAAUACAUCCAUAAGCUAAACUUCAUAAUGCGAAAGCUAAUGAAGAGCAUGUCUGCAUCAAUCCAAAAGCCAAGCAUAACGAAGUUAUGCUCAACAAGUGAUCAUCUAAUCGAUCCUCCAUGAAUCCAUCUAUAACAAGACGUAGCUCACAUCGUAACAAGCAGAAGGGGAAUCAUCAAUGAUCAAUAUAUUCCAAUUCAAACCCAAUAAGGAUUCAAAAUUUCCAAUAUUGAUCACUAACUCUUUUGUUUGUAGAGUUAGCAUAGUCCAUGACUGAAUCACUUUUCAAGGACAAGCUUAAAGCUCAACCCUUACUAAACAAACUCAUCGAGAAUACAACUAACUUAACUUGCCACUCAGUUCAUUUAAACGUCAACACAGUUGCUAACUAGCAAAUGCAUGAAUGCUAACAACACAAAGCUAAAGCCAAAUCAUCAACAUUUUUCAUCAAGACUAAUGAAACUCAAUAUCAAUCCUAAGGAAAGACAUUUCAUUUCACUCAAGUCUCAAUAUCAAUAAUAUUAAUGACAAGGCAUCACUUCAAUGCCAUCAACAUCAGGACAAAGCUAGAAGAAAGCAAGAGUGAAUCACCACUCGGAGCUUUCCAGCAACCAAGCUAACCAAAGGCGAAGAUACUAUACUUAGUAUCCGAGACCAAUCCUUUAGCAAAACUCAGUGACAAAUAACACAUCAUCAAGGAGUGAAUCACCACAUCCAAGACUCAAUGAAAUCCAACACUAUAGACCAAACGUAACUAAAUGAUAUCAACAAAGGAAUUGAUAUGCCAACAUGGAAAAACCAUGUUAGCCUAAUGACACGAUCCUCCGCAACACCAUCUGGUAAAGCAAGCCCACCACUGCUAAAUCAUCAUCGAGCAAAGCAAGUGUCAACGGUCCUUGAUGAAGUCUACAAGUAAUCACUAGUCGCAAAGCAACUAACAAUCACUCCUCAACUUGCGUUCACAAGACUCAACACUAAACUCAUAUCAUCAAGUCAUAUACUCAUCCAAUAUGAACGUAAUACCUCAUGUACGAGAUAAAAGUUCAUAGACAAGCACAAACUAAAUGACCACUCGAAUCCAACUCAACCGCAAUAAGCUCACUAAUGCAUUUAGUCAAUAGUUCUGAGCAUGCCUUGAAGAGGCUAGCUAUGCAUGAUCAACACUCAGUCGAAACUAAAGUGAAGACCAUGAGAUGGACUCAUAUUGGUACACAACCUCCUCAUAGACAAAGCUAUAGUAUGGGUACCAACAUCUCAGCUUGCAAACAACUAAGUUGGACAUCACCAUCCUCAGCCAAGGCGCAGGGCCACCAAGACCAAGUCAAGAUCAGUGAGAGCUCACUACUCUCAUAGAGUCUAACAUAAUGCAAGGUGCAACCUGCCACCAAGCAUAGCGCUACAAAAGAAAGGUACAAGGGUCACCUUUCUGAGAAAAGUGCAACGGCCACUUUUCUACACCAACUCAAGACUCUAUCCAACUCAAUUGCCUUAGCCCCAAAAGUUAGCAUCCCUUUCAGGCCGCAUCAUACAAACUAUCUACUAAGGUUUAAGCCAACCGAAGCCAACUCCAACCCCUUCAACAGUUUGUACUAGCUUACGAAAACGGAAUGGUUUUCGAGCAAAGUGACUAACAGAUCAGCCAUUGGAAAAGUCUAAAAAUUUGUGGAAAAUUUUCCAUCCUAGAGAAAGAAUGACUCUCAAUCCAGGAUUGCAAACUUUCAAGACUCAACCAACUUCUUCCUACCAACAACUUCACAUAGGCUCACCUCAACACAAAUUCUCAUGAUCCAACAACAUGCUUAAGCAUCGAACAUCUUUGCCCAUAUAACCGACAUCCAACACUGACAUCCGCAAAGUGCAAAAUGAACAUCCAAGGCUUGAUCACGAAGACCACAUCUUCGGAUAUCCAUAUUGCACUAACACUCUUCUUCAAUCACCUUCAAGAUCCAAUGUGAAGCCAAAACACUAACAAGAAAAAUGACAUGGAAAAAUCAAGGUCCAAGGAAAAUUCCUCAUCACUUGAAAUAACAAUACCACUUCCACACAAGUGCUAGUGAUGUCAAUGCCCCAACUACACAUCUUCUCCAUCCAACAAUCUACUCCAAGUGCUAACGGAUCAACCGACAAGCUAUAGCAAAUGAAUGCUACAACCCUUUCCAACACCUAACAGGCAAACUCAAGGAAACAAGGUACCAACUUAAGCUUAGCAUAAUGGACCACUAUAGAGAAUCCAGUCAAAGCUACUACAAUGCUACUACAUGCAAGUAGACUAGCUUCUCUAUCAACCAAUUUGGGGUUGAUCAUCAUUUACCCAAGCAACUUCAUAAACACAUUGCUUAUUAUCACAUGGAUAUGAUAUAAAUCACAAUGACUUGAUCAUCAAUCAAGCAACACUAUGAGAAAUGCCCAUGUCACUACUGUAAAGGUUUAUGUGAAUAUCAAGUGCUAACUCAAUUCGACAAAAUGCAACAUAAAUGCCACACCCUAUCAAUAGAGAUUUACAACACCCAACACCACUAACUUUUGUUCACAACAUGGACAAGCUCAUGCUAUUCUCUUUCCGACCAAACUCAAAACUAAUCCAACACCAAGCUACUCAAGGAGCAAUAGCAAGGUUCCCCGGAAAAGAAUUGAGCAUUGCAACCCAAGUCUUCCAAUAGCGAGCCUAGACAAAAUGGUUUAGUGUUUCACCACUAUCCAUCCCAUAACUCACCACUUGUAAGACCAUCACUUCCAACAUGCAUCAAGGUAGGGACUCUUGAUUGCAUUAUGUGAACACAAGCAAUGAGUUAACACCUCCUUGCAAAUCAUCUCUUCAAGAAGAGAAAAUGAUUUACGUAUUUGAUCCUCCGUCCCCGAUGACUCUCUUUUCGGUCUCAUCUUUGACCAAACCUCAAGCUUGCUUUCACACUGCCUUUAGUUCAAUCGAAGAAAAGUUUAUGAGAGAGCACGGCAAUGAUUACUUGAACCAAUAGACUAUUCCCUACAGUCUUGAUUGAGCCACUUAUAAUCAUGCCUAGGAAGGAUCCACUAGUACCAUGCUAAAUAGCUACGGACCAGCCUAUUUGCCACUCAUAGCAAACCUAGGGAAAGUUUAUUUUCACCCAUGGUACAUGGAACAACUCAUGGAACCACUGAUAGGCUAGCAUUAAUCCUGCCAACUCUAAGUGUAACCUUGAGUUGCUAAUGUGCCUCACUCACUCGCCCAAGCGCAAACUCAUGCUACUGGAACAACUCAAUCCUUCUUAUGAGCCCAAGAGCAAGCUCAUAUAAUACAGUACAAAACGGUAACCAAAUCCAUACUCAAGGAACAUUUGCGAAGCCUUUGCACCCAAACAUGUACCCACUCGGAUCAUCGUUUUCAUCUCUGCGUAUGCAACGAGACUAGUUGCCCAAUCUCAUUGAAUAGUACUCGCUGAGACUCAUCCUCUGAUACCAAAUGUAGCGCACGUGGUUUUGACCCUUUAUCCUAUGGCGAUUUACCAUAGGAUACCACCACGAAGCGGAACCUAAACCCUCUUUGUGCCACGUGACAGAUGCCACGUGUCACAUACCACGUGUCCAUAGGAACCCGAGGUUCAGGGCCUUGGGCCACUGAACGAAGGAACGGUGCCAAACUCCCAAGCGUGACGCCAAGGAGUGAUGGAACCGGACCAUGGAGCAACUCCCGAGCAUAUAGCCCAAGGAGCGAAGGGACAGGAGCCCGAAGCGACUUGGAACAGUCCUGGAGCAACCAGCAUCCCAAUGCCAGGACCAGCACGCAAAACGGAGCCAAACAAAGUCUGGCGCUAUUUCGGCAUACCGGUGGCCUAACACGAGGAUAUGGGUACUCCACCAGCUAGCAUGGAAUGGAACUUGGGCUUAGACCCAAGCCGGACGCAGAACAAGGAUAGACACGCAAGCGGGAGCUAGACUAUGCCUCAGGUUGGUCGGCCAUGCCCGACCUACCCACUAUCCCUACUAUACAUUUGGAACCCCCCAUAUCCCCCCCCCCCCUUGAGGAACACACGCUUUGGGCUUUCACCUCAAGCCUCCCUUAGUAUCAGGAGUUAGUCUCAGGGACAAACUCGAAACUUACUAAAUAUGGAAUGUCCUUAGAUUGCGAAUUUGGACACGGGACGAACACCAUUGUGUUCAGGUCGAUCUCUACAUUCCGUAGAUAUGCCAAAUGAGCAAAUCUGGACACUUUCCAUAAAUAGCAUUUGGGACUGAAAUGAGACUAACACAAAGGGCAUGAUAGCGAGGGUGUUUGGCAGACACGGUAAGCUAUCAUCCAGCGAUAUUGAGGGACUAAUCUCAAUACGCGAGAGUUCUUGCCAAGCCAGUGCAAGACAGAGCAAAAGAGAACUAAGAGCCAGGCCGAGAAUGCUCAGCUAGAAACACAUAGGAGUUCCUACUUUAUGUUCAUCUGGCUAAGUACAGAUGCUAAGCCCAGUAAGCUAACACUUGGACAAGAGGGGCUAAUAAAGGGAACCAGCAAUACCGACCUCCUGCCAUCGUGGCAGUAAGGUAAGAGUGUCCGUAAGGACUAGCCGACAGGUAACUUUCGAUACCCAAAGUCACAUUCGCGACAUAAACUACCUGCAAAUUCCAUUUGCACACCAUCAAAAUCUUAUUAAGUUCUAUGGCUAGAUCAGUUGCCUAGCAUAUCUUUCACCACCUAAUUCACAUGCUCAGUUUGCCCAUAUGUCUAAAGAUGAUCUCUAAUUGAGAGUUUGAAAGUCACUUGCAUAGCCUUUGUAAAGCUUUUCAAAAAUCCCCUAGUGAACUUUUAAUCUUGAUCACUAAUGAUGUCCUGGAAAACCUUCUUGAAGUAGACCACAACUAAAUAUGAGGUAGUGACAAUCUUCCAGAGAGCCAACAACUAUAUAUACUUUGUUAAACAAUCCAUACUUACUCCUUUUGCCUUUGUGUUUGUGGCAAAAAGGUGAUGAAGUCUAUACAGAUAUUACACCAAUAGCUCUGAGGAAUAAGUAAAGGUUGCAAAAGUCCUUUUAGCUUCUUCUGUGACACUUUUACUUAUUGACAGAGCUCACUUGAUUUACAAUACUUGAAGAUGUCAACCUUCAUAUUCCUCCAAUAAAAAUUGCACUUAAUCAACUUAUACGUCUUCUUCCCCCCAAAAUAACUAGCAUCUAGAUGAUUAUAAUAGUGGAAUAAAACUUGAGUAAUUAAUGCAUCCACCCAUAGCAAAUAUACAUGGCUAUUAUAGUAAAGAAUCCCAUCCACCAAUGAGAAAAGUGCUUCCAUCUACACUUAUAAAAAGACCACCUCAACAUCCUAAGUCUGAGCACACUCAACCAACUAUCCAAAUUCAAUGACCACCUUACUCAAAUGAUGACAAAAUCGUGUUUUUAAUGCUAUUAUAUGACGAACAUGAGAUAAAGCAUCUGCAACCACAUUUGAUUUUCCCGGACUAUGCUUAAUAGGAAACUUCCUAAACUCCAUGAGUUUGACCAUCCAACAAAUUUGCCUAGUGUUCAACUCCUUCUAUGUGAAAAGAUACACAAGAGAUUUGUGAUCUGUCACACCAUGAACACUACACCAUAAAGAUAGUGCCACCAUGUCUGCAAGGCAUGAACAAUAAAGAGUAACUCUUGCUGAUAUAUGGAAUAAUGUUGCUCUAUGGGAUUCAAAAUUUGACUCUCAUAUGCAAUAGGUUGUCCCUCUUGUAUGAGAUUUCUUCCCAAUGCAUAACAACUCACAUCACAUAUCACCUUGUAAAGUUUUGAUGGAUCGGUAAUGCAAAACACUAGAGCCUCGCUCAACAACUGUUUCAAUGCCACAAACUCUUUUCAUGUGGCUUCUUCCACUCAAAUGGCACAUUCUUGCGCAACAAUUGUGUCAAAGGAAUAGCCACCUCCACAAACUUAUGCUAAAAACAUCAGUAGUAACUAAUCAUACCAAGGAAGGUUCGUAACUCAGCCAUUGAAGUCGGUGUAGGCUAGUUUUCCACCACAGCCACCUUCCUUGGAUCUGUCUUGACACUCUUAGAUGUCAUAAUAUAGCUUAGAUAUUCCAUCUCUGACUUUAUAAACUCACAUUUGCUCUUCUUCACAUAUAUUUUGCUGUCAUGCAAUAAUAAAAGAACCUUGUGCAAAUUCACUUUAUGCUCCUCCAUAUUCUUGCUGAAAACAAGAAUAUUGUCCAAGAAAAUCUUCAUAAACUUAUGAAGAUACGCCUAAAUACCUUUAUCAUCAACUGAGUAAAUGUGGCUAAUGCAUUUGUCAAACCAAACAGCAUAAUCAUAAACUCAAAAUGCUCGAAGCUUGUGUUGAAUGCCAUCUUCGAGAUAGAUGCAUAAUCCAUUGCAAUCUAAUGAUAUCCACUCCUUAGAUCAAUCUUGGUAAACACUUAUGUUUCGCUCAUGGAGAUGAGAGGGAGAACAAGCAAUCAAUGCUACAACUUUUAUGAUUGAAUGGCACUUCUCGCUCAAAACCGCAUUCACUUCAACAAUACUAUUCCUCUCACAAUCAAUUAUACAUAUCUUAAUAUCUAAAGCAUUGAAUGAUUGUGUCUAUUGAUCGCCAUCAAAGAGAAUGAAAAUCAUGACCAUUGAUCGAGACUGUUGAUCACGUCCGUUGAUUUUUAUAGUUUUAUACCUAGGGUUGGAGCAGCAAAUGGCAAGAGAAAGGCAUGUUUGAGUAGGGAAGGGUGACAGAAAGGAGCUUCAACCUAGCAAUGUGCUCAAGGAUGCUCCUCAAACAAAGUAUGCUUCUGUGAGAAAGUCGAUUCAUGCACGAACUGACAUUUCCUCACCUUCUUUCUUCCAUUAGAAGUUUUCUUUUUUCUCGACUUUUGUUUUCUCUUGAGGGAUAGAGAUAUCAGUUCUUGUGCAAACCGACAUCUCUUAGCAUUCUUUUUCAUUUUCUGUUAGCUUUUCGCCCAUCUCUACCUCGUUUUUUUUUAUUUCUUUUCCUUGUUGAAGGGGUGGGAAAGGUCGGUUCGCGUGCGAACCGAUGUCUCCCCACUUUCAUUUUUUCUAGACGCAAGCUUUCUUAGUUUUUUUCAUGUUUCUAGUGAUGAGAUCUCUAUAUUUUAAAAAACAAAGAGAGAUAGAAAUAUUGGUUCUUGUGCGAACCGAUAUCUUUAAGGUUUAUUCUUGAUUUUAAUGACUUAAUGGGGCAUUUCAUGUGAAAAUAAGAGGGUGGAAAAUGUCGGUUCUUGCAUGAACCCACCUCUCCCAUAUUCUUGUUGUGUUUUUCUUUUAUCUCAAGAGGUAGGGUGAGGCUGAUUCUCGCGCAAACCAACCUCUUGCAGUGACUUGUGGUUUUUUCCUAAACAUUUCUUGUAGUUUACAAUUUAUUUUUCACAUCUUUUACUUACAAUUUUUUUUUGUGAGAGCAGAUAUAAAUCAACCUUGACUGCCUGGAACUUCCAACAAGGGACUUGAACUUAAAAUGCCAUAAAUUUGCUUUACAUUACAAGUUAGAUGUUAUAGUAUUUUUACUUUUUAUUUUAGAGGAAGCGCCGAGGCUAGCCUCAAUGGUCUCGUUCUCCAAGAAAAGGCAGCCGCCUUCAUCACUGUGGGCUUGGUUGAUUGAGUGGAGAUUCAUCUCAAGUAUCCAAUGAAGUUUCUGCUAGUCAUGCUGGAGGCAACAAUGAGCAUAACAAUGACGUGGAUGUUGAGAUGGACACUCAAAUUAAUGUUGGUGUUAUUGAGGCUAUUGGUACUGGUGCUCUUGAGGCUGUGGCUAUUGGUGGUGAGGUACUUGCAUCUGAUGUUGGUGGUGGUGGGGGUGCUGUGCCUUUGGUUGCUGAGGUUGCUCGUGGCAAAGUAAAUGAACUAGCUGAGGAGGUUAUUGGUAGCGCUGUAGGUGGAUCUAUUGCGGAGGCUACUAGGGGCAUGGUAGCUGCUCCUACUACUCCUCAGGCUAGUGGUGUAAGGGGAGCUAGUGGUGGUGAGGGAUUAUGUAUGCAUGAUUCUGACACCAUCUUAAAUGAUCAUGUUUGGGACACGAUCAUCUAAGCUCAAGAAUGGACAAUCAGUAAAGUGUUACAAGAAAUGGCAUGGAAUGGCCCUUAUCGUUUUCUAGUUCCUUUGUGCCAGUUGGUUCAAAGCCAUUGGGUGCACUCAGCUUACGACCUCAACAUGGCUAUCUACAGCUCUUUUGCUGAGGUCGGGUUUGAGAGCACAACUAGUACCUUCAUCGUUUCACCAACUUUCCCUGGAAUCGGCCGGACAGAGCUAGUGACUAUUGAACUUGAGCAAAAAUAGGAUCCUAUAUGGCUACAAAAGUCUCGUGAAUUUGAUGGAUUCUUAGGACAACAAGUAAAGAUAACAAGGUUCAUUGGAAAGCUCUUUUGGGUGAUUGAUGGAAACCAUAAGUAGUUAGUAUUUUGGAAGUGCAUUCAAGAGAAGUUCUGAGAUGACGAAGAGCGAUAUAUUAGUGUUUCAGUCACACUUGUCAAAUGAAUGACUCAGGAGCACAUUGUAUGUGAAUCUCAAUAUGGCAUGCCAUAAGACCAACAUGUAAGAAUUUAUUUUUUGUAAACUUAGCCAAUAUUGUGUUUUUCCAAGCUAAACCAAUUUGCGUUUCAAGCUUAUAUUGGUAUAUGACAUUGAGCACAUUCGGUUUAUUGGCAUGCUCUCGCUAGAGGAGGUCCAAACGUUGUACAAUUAUGAGGUAUUUGAAGCAAUUCAAGUGAAGCUAGCAGCUAGGAAAAGCCAAGAAUUUCAGACUUGGUACCAGCUGCCACUUGAUUUUCUAGUUGCUAUCUGGGCGAAGGGAAAUUCGUGUUGAAGUAUGUAUCAACUUAUAUAAUGUUUCUUGUAGCCCAUAAUCAAAGGAAAAAGAGCCUCAUUUUUUAAAAAUGCCCGAGGGGACGAGUAGUAGAAGGAGAUGGAGUGGCAUGCAAUUGAGUAGCGAAUUUUGAAUAUGAAGAGAACAAACGUGAAAAAGUUGCUCUCAAUUACAGACAUACGACGUGGGCAGAAAUGGCUCGAUAGCAUUGCCAAUAUUUGUUUUCGCAUUUGUAAGUUCUUCUAAAAUUUGUGAAACAUUUCAUAACACUUUGUGUGUGUAGGAACUGGUAAAGCACUAGAGGAACUCAUUUACAACAUCUCCAAGAGUAAAAUGUCCUUUUCUGAACAAAGCAUUCACUUGGAACUUCUCAACACUUGGCUACGAAACAACAAAAAAUAUUGCGAGAAAAGGAUGGAGAAGGUGCUGAAGGAGAAGACGUAAAUUUCUCAGAGUAUUGCCACUGGUGAGAAGAUGCUACAAGUCUGGGAGAAGAAGUUUCUUUCCAGCAUCUGCACAAGUAUCACUCUCGAAAAAUAUAUUUGUGCUUGUCUUGCGGAGCUAGGGAAUGGUUGGCUUCCAUGUGGUGGGACAAGUUCGGCUGAGUUCAAGAACCAACCAAGACAACCAUUUCUUAUGCGGCACAUGGUUUACAUGUAUUUUCUCAAUUCUCAUUUAUAUAUUGGUAUUUAUAUUUUUGUUUUAGUUUGUAGAUAUUUAAAAUAUUGAACUGGUAUACACAGCCGGGGUUUUGUAGUAGCUCCUGACUAGAGGCAAGAAGUUUGGGAUGUAUGAGCCAGAGUUCUAUUGUCCUUGUACACAUGGGAAGGAGCUAUGCCCAUGGUACCUUGAACUUGUGAAGCAGAUGCCGACAUCGAACUUCGAGCUGGAUCUCUACCUUGAAUGUCAUCCACAUUCACUUGAAACUCAGCACUUAGCUAUUAACCUUGAGUUAUAUUCUUAUUUUCUAAAGGCUCUUUCUAAUUGUGAUAACGACAUUAUUGAAGUUCAACAACUAAACCCAAGAGUCCACACUCAGGAAACCAUUCAAAAGAUGCCAAAUCCAAAUACCGUUGAACUAGAGGAAACUGUACAGGAGAUUCCAGCACAAGAGAUUCCAAUACUUGCCCUUCGCAACCCUCGAAGAGGCUAUCAUAAAGCCUUUCACAAGAGUAAGGACUUUGAUUUGGAACAUUCUUUUAUUCAUUCUUGACUUCACUUUUUUUUUUAUAGAUGUUGUAGAGAGCAACCAUCAGUCUUCUCGGUAGACUAAGACAUUCUUCCCAUCCCUCCCCAUAGCUACAGAUGACGACCUGGAAGAGCUCCUCUGCAACUAUGCAUAAACAGGUUAGUAAGCAUGAAUUUUAUCUCCAACUUUUAGUUCUAAUAAUUGUUUUUCAGGUUCGCCCUCUAUCCCCAACGGCCAGUGUUAGGGAAGUUGCUGUUCUCAUUGGGGAUUAUAUGCAGCUUUUAGAUGCUACUAGUCAGGAGCUCUACAUGCUUGAUCAGUGGAUCCAUGGUCAGGGUCAGCUCACAUUUUUUGAUCUUCCUGAUGGUCAGGGUCAGCUCAUCUUUUUCGAUCUUCCCGAUGGGAUGCCACUACUGUAGGGGGAUACUCUGUCAUGGAAUGUGUUGCAGGCCCAACACAUUUCCCAAGCCUUAAAGGUUAUGAGCAGCUUCAUGACAUACGAGGCUAUGGCUAUUAUGAUCCUUCCCCACUCUCUAAUAUGGGAAGGCCUUCUCACACGCUUGGUUGACAACGAUGAUGGAUUUGUCGAGUUUUCACCUUGCUGCCUUCUUUCGAGUAUGGCAGUGGACACAAAAGGCACUGGGCAGAAGUGAAAAGUGUGUGACUUCUUUAUUUACAAAUUAACUCUAUUCUAUUUUUUUUUUCAGAUAUAUUCCUAGAACUACCAUGCUCUAUACCACAUUGGGAACCGGUGUAAUGCCACACGAGCUAACGAGCAUGCUGCUCUUGCUUUACCAGGAUACGACAGCUCUACAGACAUCAUCCCAAAUGUGAUUGACUCGGACAUUCUUCACCCAAUGUUCCUUGGUUAUCGAUAUCAUUCAGUCACGGCCAUGCUGAUCUUGUUAGAGUUAUUCUAUCCACCAAAGGGGAUUGUGCUAUGGAUAUUGAAGCAUAAGAAGAUUGAAUAUAUUCUGAUUUUAAAUUAAUUAUGUUGUUUAAUAUAUUAUUUUAUUUCUUUGUAGAAUAAAAGAUUAGUUCGUGUUAAACCAAUAAUCUACAUGAGCUUAUAGAAUACCUUAAACACCUAGAUUUUAUGUUAAAAAUUCUUGGUUCAGGACAAACUAAGGUAGUGCUAUUAAACUUUCACUAGUUAGAGGAUUGUAUUGACCUCCCAUGAUUGUUUCUCUUAGCUUCCUAGAGUGCUUCUGCAAUCAUCGUUUACAUAGCCGGCCUACAUAUUCUUCCAUUUUCAAGCUUCAUCUUUAUCACAGUCAUUUUGGGCAACUUUGAGCAACUUCUAAAUGAGGCUAAGGGUUCUAGGCCAUUUAUUUUGACCAAGGAUUCUUCUUUUUGUGCCUUAGAAAAGUCUACAAUCUUACUGCUCUUGUCAAUCCAAUUGCCUUAACCGGGCAUUUGCAGCAUUUAGGAUAUUUGAUGCCAGUACAAACUAGAUGUGUAGCAAAUUAGUGCCCUUUCAAAGUAUCUCAAGGCCCUAGGUAUAGAGUAAACUUUCUAGCAUCCAAAGGCAACUUAGGUACGACAUAACACCUUCUUGAGCCAAGUCUUCUUCAUCCUCGGUAGAUUCUAAUGACUUAGAUCUACAAGCUAUGGCACAACCACAUUUAACUUGACCCAAGUUCCAUGUUUUGCAGAAGGGGAGUGAUCUGCUGACAUUCUCAAGUGUUGGAACAGUCUCUCUAGCGUCGCAUAUCAGUCGCUUUGAUUACUAUUGCACUACAAACAUGAUUGUCGAUGAUGAUUGUAUGUGCUACGACUUCUUGCAGUCUCUCAAAGGCAAAACAACAACUUGGGCAGAUUCUCUUCUCCAAAAGAACUAGAUAGACUUCCAGACGCUGCUUGCUUCUUUCAAAGAAAAACUCACAAAUUGAUUACUUGUAGAUCUCUUUUCCUUUUGGCAAGGUGAUCAUGAGUCUAUUCUUGACUACAUCACCAGGUUUCAAGUGUACUAGGAGUAGUGUUAUGAUCGCAAAGUGGUCCAAGAUGAGCAGCAGCAGAUCAUAGGAUUCACAAUGGCUCUGCAUGGGAACUUAUAGUAGAAACUUCUUAAGAAGACAUUCAGGUUUUGCCGCAAGGCAUUUUUAUUUGCCAUGAAGCUGGAAAGAGAGCUAUUUGUUGACACAGGGAUUGCUAGAGUUAAUUUUGAUUAUGCUUGAUGCUACAGUAGGUUUUCGUUCGAUGGUGCUAGUGGCUAAAGAGAUUGGCUGUGCAAUUUUUGCACUGGAGAAGUAGAGUGCAUUUGAAGGUGUUCUUGGGACAUUUCAUAACAGGUGAUAAUAAAGUAAACAUUUCUCAUUAUAGUAAUUCCAUCAUGGUUGUGUAUAUUAGGUGGAUUGAUGAUCUGGGCUAUAAUUUGCCAUGUUAUGUAGAAGCAUUGGCACAAACUCAUAUGCAACAAGAGCCCACAGUUAGAGAGCAUAAUAUUAUAUGAACUCCUUUUGUGGAUGUGGAUGCCGAGGAAGACUAAAUUUAGUUUUUUUUUAGUCGAUUUUUUUAGUGGUAAUAUAGAGUUCCUUCUUUGACUUAUGAUAUAUUUUUUUUAUUAGACUUAUAUUAUUUAGCUUUUUCUUAGACUGAAAAUAUGUUUUAAGUUUUGAAUAGAAUUGUUGAUUUGUCCUGAACCAAUCAUUUAAAUAACAACUUUUGUAUUUGGUGGACUAUAUUGACUUUCAUUGACUUGAUCUUAGCUCAAAAACUACGCAGCCCCAGUUGAAGGAGAUCAUUCUUCAACAACAGUCAUACCAUGAUAAGUUGCUCCAGAAGCUUGUGGAGUCUAGGAAAGAGGCUGUUGCAACUCAGAAAUGCUGAUUCAAGUCCCGUUAGUGCACUCACUACGAGACAAACACACAUAACACAUAGUGCUGCUUCAAGCUUCACCCAGAUCUUCUGCCUCCACCUUCUCAACAUGUCUAACACGUUAAACCCUAAACCCUAAAUUGUCUUGCACCAACGGGACUUGAAUCAGCAUUCCUAAGCUGAAACAGCCUCUUUCCUAGACUCCACAAGCUCCUAGAGCAACUUGUCAGAGUAUGAGUGUUGGUAAAGAAUGAUCUCCUUCAGAGAGAUGUGGUGUGCUGACAAGUCCACACCAUCCUGUGGUCCAGAGACAUACCAGGAGUAGUUGGAACAACAAGCAAUCAAGGCAGCCCCUUUGUCAAGCAAAGGCAAAGCACCAGCCUCAUUGGUCAACAUGAUUUUGGUAGCCAAGGAACUCUAUAGACAAUAGCAGCAAACUGUAGCCACUCGAGCCCAAGUGAAGGAGAAGGUAGCUGCUUAGCCUAUCAUGGAUCCCCUGGAAUUAGUUGAGAGUGAAUCUCUUUCGGCACCAAAUCUAGUGAUACAGAGGAUGGCUUAUAAACUCCCCUUCAAGUCACUACUCUUCUCUCCUUCUGAGAUUUCACCAAUAGUUAUUCAUGUUUCAGAGCCAAUUCUUUGGAAGCUGGUUGGCACUCUUGUCACUUUUUCGCUCCGAGACAUGUUGUGCCUUGUCCCUGGAUUUAGCUAGUGUUUGGAGGAGUUUGCAUGGUCAGGAACACCACAAAGCACUCUCAACAGGACUCUCAAAAGGUGCACAUCGUUGACAUGACAAAAUAUAGUGGAGAUCCUAGUCCAUUUUUUGUCCCGGUGCACGUUAAACCCUAAACCCUUAAUUGUGUUGCAGUGAGUGCACCAACGGGACUUGAAUCAGCAUUCCUGAGCUGCAACAGCCUCUUUACUCCACAAGCUCUUGAAGCAACUUGUCAUAGUAUGACCGUUGGUAAAGAAUGAUCUCCUUCAGAGAGAUAUGGUGUGCUGACAAGUCCACACCAUCCCGUGGUCCAGAGACAUACCAGGAGCAACUUCCUUGCUCCUGGUAUACCUCCUUGCCCUUCUGGGGCAAGGGUUUUAUAAAAGGAAGAUGAGGAAUAUUUUGGGAAUCAAAAUAUUCUCUCCACACUCACACUCUCUAAAUGGCCAUGUCCUAACACAUGACCAUGGUGGAUUCGCAUUGACUCUAGAUGUGUGAGAACCCUCUGAAGAGUGUCAAGUGUACCUCUGCUACUGAUGCUAAGUGCUAGUAACUGUGUGAAAUAGUAGAAACUUGAGAAAAGAAAGUGGAAAAAGAUAAAGAAGGGGUAGGUGUGAAGUUUGAAGACAAGGAGGAAAACCUGAUAGGAAACCCUAUAGGCAAACUAGACCCUAAUGUAAAAGAAAAGUACACAAGUGUGAAAAGUGAAGAAAAAUAAAAAUAAAAAGAAUGAAUACCCAAAGAACUUAAUCCGUACUUAGAUUUCAGAUAAGGAAAGUGUAAUAUGCAAAUGGAACCUCGUGAUGACUUCAAAUAUGCUCCAAGAAUUGGUUGAAAUCAAGAAAGAGAGGUACAAGAAGGGAUGUAUUGCUCAAUGGUGGUAAGUGUAGAAAUGAUGAAAGAUGGAAUAAUAUGGUGGAGUGCUGAGAUGGUGGUGGUGUUCUGAGAAGGUGGUCAUCUCUACAAGUGGUAGGCCUAUGGUCUAAUAUGUUGGACUAAAGAAAUUCAUAGCAGAAAAGGACAGCAUAGUUGCUAGAUUGCCAGUAAAGAAAGGUGGCAUAUAUCCACUGAGUGCUAGAGUAGGAGAAAGUGGUUUUAGCUUCUGUGGAGUUGCCUAAAGAUCCAUCUAGACGCCUUAAGUGAAUAAGUUCACCUGGUUGGAAGAAAGUUACUCUAAAAAAGUUAGCAUAUCGUUGGCAAAUGGUUGUAAUAAUAUCUCAAAAACAGCAGUGGGAAGAUGCUCACUGUGUGACACCUCAAAUAGUGGCUGAAAAGAAUUGAAUUUGGCUGCAUCCUAUGCAAGAUGGACCUAGUCUGAACUGACUGUAUCAUCAAGCUCCAUGAGAGAAAGCUGGUCCCAUGCAAGAAACAAGUCAAGAAGCCCUUCCUCCAUCAGGAAACACUCCACAAAGCUAGAUAUGGAAGUUGGCACCUCAUAAUCCCCACCAUCAAAUAAAGAGGGCAUGGCUAGAGGCUCAGCCUUAGUCUCAAAUAAAGAGAGUGAGGCUGAGAGAUAUUCAGAGCCAUCUAAUUCACCUCUAACAAUGUCAAUUGCAUUGCAUGAGAAAGCAUCUAUCACAUAAAUGGUUGACUCCACCACAACCUUGGGGAAAAUCUCUGUGAGCUCAAGAAGAAAGUGUGGUGUGGAGACCAUCUUAGCCCGAUCCUUCUGGGCAUGCUGAGAAAAAGCUCUACCAUGGUUGUUGAGAAAGGUGGUGCUAUGGAUUCUGUCGCUAAUUUCCAUCUUGCCUUCUGCGUUGUUGAUGGUGUUGGAGGAAGGAGGGCCCCCUCACAUGACGCUCACUCAAACACAAGAAAUGCUCCAAUGCUCUUCACAAAUGCCCCCUUUUGCCCUUGUGGGGCAAAGGUUUUAUACAAGGGAGAUGGUUAAUAUUCUAGGAAUCAGAACAUUCCCUCUCACUGGUGUGGCCAUUUAGAGAGUGUGAGAGUGAGAGAGGGAAUAUUCUUCCUAGCAGGGCAACGGGAUGCAUUUGUGAAGAGCAUUGGAGCAUUUCUUGUGUUUGAGCAAGCAUUGCAGGAAGCACCCCUCCUUCCCCCAACAAUAGUGCAAUGGGCUGUGACUUGCCACGAGCAGCUGAGGAUGAUAGAUUCCCUCAAAGAAGAUGUUCCAAGAUGCUGGUAGUUGACCAUGAGGAAAUCUACCUCGAAAAUAACACCUUGCACUAAGACCUUGACACCACAACAAGUGCCUACUGGAAGAACAAUGUGAUUGGUGAAGGCUUUGAGCACAAUGGAGGAGCUCCUAGUGAUCUAUAGCUGUGCUGAGACAAUAGUUUCAAGAGAGAUAAUGUUGCUCCCAAAACUAGAGUCAACCAAAGCAUCCAUCUUGCAAAAGGAUGUACCAAUUUGCACCGGGACAAAAAACAGACUAGGAUCUCCACUAUAUCUUGUCAUAUCAAUGAUGUGCACCUUUUGAGAGUCUUGUUGAGAGUGCUCUAUGGUGUUCCUGACCAUGCAAACUCCUCCAAACACUAGUUGAAUCCAGGGACAAGGCACAACAUGUCUCGGAGUGAAAAAGUGACGGGAGUGCCAACCAGCUUCUAAAGAAUUGGCUCUGAAAUAUGAAUAACUAUUGGUGAAAUCUUAGAAAGAGAGAAGAGUAGUGACUUGAAGGGGAGCUUAUAAACCAUCCUCUGUAUCACUAGAUUUGGUGCCGAAAGAGAUUCACUCUCAACUGAUGCCAGGGGAUUCAUGAUAGGCUAAGCGGCUACCUUCUUCAUCACUUGGGCUCAAGUGGCUACAAUUUGUUGCUAUUGUCUAUAGAGUUCCUUGGGGGGCUGGGUAGUUUUUGAACUGAGCUUAAGUCAAUGAAAGUCAAAAAAGUCAAAGGAAGUCAAUACAAUCCCCUAACUAGCGAAAGUUUAAUAGCACUACCUUAGUUCGUCUCGAAUCAAGAAUUUUUAACAUAACAUCUAGGUGUUUAAGGUAUUCCAUAAGCUCAUGUAGAUUGUUGGUUCGACAUGAACUAAUCUUUUAGUCUACAAAAAAAGAAAAUAAUAUAUUAAACAAUAUAAUUUAUAUUAAAAUCAGAAUAUAUUCAAUCUUCUUCUACUUCCAUAUCUAGAAAAGUAGAAAUGGGUAUAGUGGAAUGCUCCUUCAUUAUAGGCUCGUGUUGUAUGUAACGUUGUGCCAUACAUUCAGUAUAAAUAGGUAAGUGGAAUUGACUUCAGUCCAUAUGAUCAUCCAUAUCAUCAAGAUCAAGCGUGUGGAUUGAAACACUGUGUGUGAUAAGUGUAGACUUAAUAAAAUAGAAACAUUUGAGAAUAAAUAUUAUAGAUUAUUUCAAGCACUAACAUGACCUGUCGCAAAAUCUCCUAAGAAUGUCCUCAAAGGCACCCUCCUUCUCAAGUGCAAAAACAGCUCAGUCUAUCUCUUUUGCUGCCUGCACCAUUGAUCCAAAUCCUGCUGUAGCAUCAAGCACAAUCCCCUUUGGCGGAUAGAAUAACUCCAACAAGAUUUGGCCGUGACUGAAUGAUGUCGAUAACCAGGGAACGUUGGGUGAAGAACGUCUGAGUCAAUCACAUUUGGGAUGAUGUCUAUAGAGCUGUCAUAUCCUGGUAAAGCAAGAGCAACACCCUUGUCAUCUCAUGUGGCAUUAUGCCGAUUCCCAAUGUGGCAUAGAGCAUGGUAGUUCCAAGAAUAAAUCUGGAAAACAUCUGACACCAGAUAGGUAGAUCUAAUGUCAUCUGCCACCACCCUGCAGUGGUGGCAGCCCAUCGGGAAGAUCGAAAAAGAUGAAAUCGAUCUUCCCAUAAGGUGUGAGCUAACCCAAACCAUGGAUCCACCAAUCAAGCAUGUAGAGCUCCAGACUAGUAGCAUCUAAAACCUGUGUGUUGGUGUUAUUGAGGCUGUUGGUACUGGUGCUCCUGAAACUACGGGUACUAGUGGUGGGGUACUUGCAUUUGAUGUUGGCGGUGGUGGGGGUGCUGUGCCUUCGAUUGCUGAGGCUGCUCGCGGCGAGGUAAAUGAACCAUUUGAGGACGUUAUUGGUAGCAUUGUAGGUGGAUCUACUACAGAGGCUACUGGGGCAUGGUAGCUGCUCCUACUACUCCUCAGGCUGGUGGUGCAGGGGGAGCUAGUGGUAGUGAGGGAUUAUGCAUGCAUGAUUCUGACUAGAGGCAAGAAGCUUGGGAUGUAUGAGCUAGAGUUCCAUUGUCCUUGUACACAUGAGAGGGAGUUAUGCUCGUGGUACUUUGAACUCGUGGAGCAGAUGCCGACAUCAGACUUCGAGCUAGAUCUCUACCUUGAAUCCCAACACUGGCCAUUGGGGAUAGAGGGCGAACCUGAAAAUCAAUUAUUAGAACUAAAAGUUGGAGAUAAAAUUCAUGCUUAUUAACCUGUUUAUGCAUCACUGCAGAGGAGAGCUCUUCUAGGUUGUCAUCUAUAGCCAUAGAGAGGGAUGGGAAGAAUGUCUUAGUCUGGCGAAAAAACUGAUGGCUGCUCUUUGCAACAUCUAUAAAAAAAAAGUGAAGUCAAGAAUGAAUAAAAGAAUGUUCCAAAUCAAAGUCCUUACUUUCAUGAAAGGCUUCAUGAUGGCCCCUUCAGGGGUUGCGAGGAGCAAGUACUAGAAUCUCUUGUGCUGGAAUUUCCUGUACAAUUUCCUUUGGUUCAACGGUAUUUGGAUUUGGCAUCUUUUGAAUGGUUUCCUGAGUGUGGACUCCUAGGUUUAGUUGUUGAACUUCAACAACGUCGUUAUCACGGUCAGAAAGAGCCUUUGGAAAAUAAGAAUAUAACUCAAGGUUAAUAUUUCCUAGCUAAGUGCUGAGUUUCAAAGUGAACCUGGAUGACAUUCAAGGUAGAGAUCUAGCUCAAAGUCUGAUGUCGGCAUCUGUUCCACGAGUUCAAGGUACCACGGGCAUAACUCCCUCUCAUGUGUACAAGGACAAUAGAACUCUAGCUCAUACAUCCCAAGCUUCUUGCCUCUAGUCAGAAUCAUGCAUGCAUAAUCCCUCACUACCACUAGCUCCCCCUGCACCACCAGCCUGAGGAGUAGUAGGAGCAGCUACCAUGCCCCAGUAGCCUCUGUAGUAGAUCCACCUACAACGCUACCAAUAACGUCCUUAAAUGGUUCAUCUACCUCGCCGCGAGCAGCCUCAGCAAUCGAAGGCACAACACCCCCACCACCGCCAACAUCAAAUGCAAGUACCCCACCACUAAUACCCGUAGCUUCAGGAGCACCAGUACCAACAGCCUCAAUAACACCAACAUCAAUUUGAGUGUUCAUCUCAACAUCCACGUCAUUGUUAUGCUCAUUGUUGCCUCCAGCAUGACUAGCCGAAACUUCAUUGGAUACUUGAGAUGAAUAUCCACUCAAUCGGCCAAGCCCACAACGAUCAAGGUGGCUGCCUUUUCCUAGAGAUCGAGACCAUUGAGGCUGGCCUCGGCGCUUCCUCUAAAAUAAAAAGUAAAACUAUUAUAACAUCUAACUUGUAAUGUAAAGCAAACCUGUGGCAUUUUAAGUUCAAGUCCCUUGUUAGAAGUUUCAAGUAGUCAAGCUUGAUUUAUAUCUGCUCUCACAAGAAAAGUUUGUAAGUAAAAGAUGUGAAAAAUAGAUUGUAAACUACAAGAAAUGCAAAGGAAAAAAACACAAGUCACUGGGAGAGGUUGGUUCGCGCAAGAACUGACCUCACCCUACCUCUCAAGAAAAAGGAAAAACACAACAAGAAUACAAGAGAAGUCGGUUCGCGCAAGAACCGACAUCUUCUACCCUUUAAUUUUCACAUAAAAUGCCCCAUCAAGUCAAUGAAAUAAAAAAAAAGCCUUGAAGAUGUCGGUUCGCACAAGAACCAACAUUUCAAUCUCUCUAUGUUUUCUAAAAUAUAGAGAUCUCACCACUAGAAACAUGAAAAAAAUCAAGAAAGCUCGCUUCUAGAAAAAAUGAAAGUUGGGAGAUGUCAGUUUGCGUGCGAACCGAUCUUUCCCACCCCUUCAACAAGGAAAAAAAAUUUUAAAAAUGAGGUAGAGAUGGGCAAAAAGCUAAACAGAAAAUGAAAUAGAAUGCUAGGAGAUGUCGGUUCGCACAAGAACCGACAUCUCUAUCCCUCAAGAGAAAACAAAAGUCGAAAAAGGAGCAUGGAAGAAAGACAGUGAGGAGACAUCGGUUCAUGCGCGAACCAACCUUCUCAAGGAAGCAUACCUUGUUUGAAGAGUGUCUUGAAGCAUAUUGCUUGAUUGAAGCGCCUUUCUUUCACCCUUCCCUGCUCAAACAUGCAUUCUCUCGCCCUUUGCUGCUCAAACCCUAGGUGUAAAACCCUAAAAAUCAACGGACGCGAUCAAUAGUCACGAAAAAACCAUGCAUGAACCAACCUUUCUGAGCUUGAGUCUCUCUCACUUGUCACAAAAAAAUGAAACUCUCUUGAAGGGAAGAAAGUAUGGAGAUGAGAGGGAGAAUAAAUAAUCAAUGCUACAACUUUUGUGAUUGACUAGCGCUUUCCACUCAUAACCACAUUCAUUUCAACAAUAUUAUUCCUCUCACAAUCAAUUAUACAAUUACUAUGGGUGGCUCUUUAAAAUUCUCAUAUCUCUCUAGAUUCUAAAAGGUUGUAUAUUUUGUUAAAAUAAUUAACUUGUCCUUUGCAAGGACAUAGCUAAUUAAUGCUCACAAUACAGAAGAAUAUCUUUGUUCUUUUUUGUUAGUUUCUCCCCAAAUUUUUUUCUAAGUGCUCGAGGAAGGAGAAGAUAUGAGAGAAUUCUAUUUGAAGUUCAAUCAAGAGCCUCCAAUUGUUUUCUCUAAUAGUGUUAUAGGAGAGAGCUUCCUCUGUAGAAGAUUCAAGCUAAAGCUAGAAUUAGUUAGUUUGGAGAAUGUAUGUCGUGAUAAGGGUAAUCAAAUAGAAAAAUCCAUUCUUCUCGACAGUGGUGUGGGAGAGAAUGGGAUUCAAUGGGAUCUUGAUAGAUGUACAGGUCAAGAGAUUCUAAUUACAAGAUCUUCGAAGUGAGGAGAGGAAAGUGCAUCAGUUUCAUAACUAAUUGUGCAAGGAGUGAAGGAUGAAGUUGUUAUUCUCUCCAGUGACAAAAAUGAAGAAGAUGAGCUUCCCAAUAUAGCUUCCCAGACAAGUAGGUGUGUUCCUUCUGGACUAGUUUUUGAAGUGGUGGAUAAAGCAUUUCAGCAAUCUUAAUCAUUACGGUUGGAAUUGAAGGAGUUCCAGUACAUAAGAGGUGAGGAGCUUCCUUCUUCCUAUAAUGGGAAUAUAUUCUUUGAGUUUCCACCAGCAAGUUUGUCAAGUAGGAAAAGGGGUAUGGAGACAUGUCUUGAUCCACAUAAUUGGUGCAGAGAAAAGACGACCCACUUCUCUCAUUUCGAUGGAUCUGUGUCCAUAGUCCAUUGUGGUGGACAACUUUAGUGUGUCCCUGAGAAAUGCAUUUCUGAUCGUGGCAAGAAUAUGUGUUUCUUUGAAGGCUCAGCAAUCAAUCCUCCUAGGCGUGAUGAAGUUGCUACAGGAUUGAGAUGUCACAAAUGCAGGGCAAUACCUGUGUGUCAAGCAUGUUGCAAUGUAAAAAUGUAUUAUUUUCUUCCACGGGAUGGAUGUUUAGGUAGAGUAGCAGUGCAUGUUAGAUACCACCAACAUGCAAUCGAGGAAGGAAUCCACCGUGAUUCUUUUUGCAAUUUGAAGAUUGCUGUUACUACAGAGGCUGGGAAGAAAAGUGCAGCAACUCCAAAGUGUGUUCAAUAGUUUGUAUUAAAGGACUAUGUGGUGGACAUAUUGCUACAAUCUGAUAGCAAAAAAAAGUUCACGGUGAAUAGCUUGAAGGACCUACUUCGAAAUAUAGAACCUAUGACAAAUUUAAAUAGGUAUAAAAUUAACACCUAACUCUACUUUAUCACUAAUAACACUCUUUCUUUUGGUAGAAUAAAGAACUGGAUGCGAGAAGGGUGAGAUGGAAAGCUUCAAUCUGGAUUGGAUGGGAUUUUGGAGCUAAAGAGAAAAUGUCCUUAUUGUAAGCAAUUAAAGAGAACAACUUGAGAGAUGGUUCAUGGGGUUCAAAUAUAGAGGGAAAGGGCCCAUGAACAAGAGUGCACCCCCUUUUCCAAUCGGUUGGUUAAAGGUCUUGGGAUACUUGGGGUUAAGCGUCCUUGGGUUUGAAUAGUACUGGGCUGGGUGACCUCCCAAGAAGUCUAAAUUCAGGAGCGUUUACAUUUGGUAUCGGAGCGGUCUUGGGUCCGACUCUAUUGGUUGGCUAAGGGAAUCACACUACAUGUUGAUUGACAUCUAGUUGGUCCAGUUUGCUCCCGCUGGGCUCGACCCGAGGGGUAGGGUGUCAAGAGAGCGGGGCUCUCAAGAGAGCUGUGGUUCUCAACUUCCAUUCACGAGGGCGUGAACUUGUAGGGAAGCGUGGUGGAUUGUAAGCAACCAAAGAGAACAAGAGUGCACCCUUUUUUCUAAUCGGUUAAGGGUCUUGGGAUACUUGGGGUUAAGUGUCCUUGGGUUUGAAUAGUACUGGGCUGGGUGACCUCUCGGGAAGUCCAAAUUCAAGAGCUUACACCUAUAAGUUUAUUCAUGGGAGCUUAUUCGUUGGCCAAGUGACUUCAAACAAUCAACACCCUUUCAUCUUUAAGAUGUCUACCCUUGGUCCUGCUUCUAGUGUGGACUUUGUACAAUGGAUGGAUAUAGGGAUUUGGCUAAUUCCUGGAGGAGCUCAUGUUUAUGAUCACAAGUGUUAGUUGGAGUAGUACGUACCCAUAUCCUCGUGUUAGGCCACCAGUAUGCUGAAAUAGUACAAUGGAUGGAUAUAGGGAUUUGGCUAAUUCCUGGAGGAGCUCAUGUUUAUGAUCACAAGUGUUAGUUGGAGUAGUACGUACCUAUAUCCUCGUGUUAGGCCACCAGUAUGCUGAAAUAGUGCCAGCACAAACUAUCUUUUGGACAUAUAUGUCCGAGGUCCAUCUCGAACUCCAUCUUGGGUCCAUCGCAGAUUCCAUCUCGGACUCCAUCUCAAGUCCAUCUCGGACUCCAUCUCGGGUCCAUCUCAGACUCCAUCUCGAACUCUAUCUUGGGUCCAUCUCGGACUCUAUCUCGAGUUCAUCUCAGACUCCAUCUUGGACUCAACCAUAUGUCAUGUGUUGGUCCUCUUGUGUCCCUUUUCUAGAGACUCUUUUAUUGCUCACUUUGUGCUCAUUCCUUGAAUACUUCGUUGGGAGUUCCACUCCUGCUCUUGACUUUUCAAGUCGGAGCUUUUAGUCUAAACGUGUUAUGCUUGUUUGGCUUUCGCUUCAGCCACUACCACGUGGCACUCUUUCGGCUCCACUUUGGGGCUUAGGGAUUUAUGUCUCACAACUCCACCACCCAUAGACGAAGUUCAAUAUCCUCAUCGAAUGAUAAAUUAUUUUAUAAAGUAAUACUAACAUGUAUUACCCUUUCCAUCCUUGCCACCUAACCAAUAUUCGUCAAUAGUUUGACACCGAAGGCUCACCAUGCCUUGUCCAUCCUCUAAGGAGCAUAGUCUUUCCAAGGUCCUGGAAGACCUACUCAAGUGCGUCACCCACGUCAUGGGAUAUAGCUCUUCGGAUGAGCGGUAGCUACAAAUGCAGGACAACCUGGUGGAGCUCAUUGUAGCCUGUGACAUCAUUCAUCACCUCCACAGCUUGUUUACACUCUUUGACAGGCCACAGGUUGAAGGGGCGCCCUUCCCACCACCCGUACUUCUCGGCCUCAAGCUACUCGACACACUAACGUGAGGAAAGAUGUUGACAGCAGCACAGUCUCCAUCUAGUAUGGCAGCUCAAUUCUUCUACUUUCAAAAGUUGAUGGGAAUGAAGAGGCUGGCUGAAUUACAGGAGUUGCUGUUUGACGAGCUUGAGAGCAACUGCCAUCCACCAGACUAUGCUUCUAGCUACAGCGAACCUGCCAAGGACCAGUUAGUCAAGGCUGACCGCACUUCCAAAUUGGAUGCAGGAACGAGCAAUAGGGAUGAACUGAGGAGACCAUCGUACGUGAGUAAAUCUGUCGGCUUUCUUCUCGUGGCCAUUGCCGAGACUGGAGUGGUCGGCCUUCCCUCACUACUUACCGCUAUUACAUUGCAGUCUAAUCCAAGAGCUACUUCCAACUUAAAGACUCAUUUGACCAUUUGUGGUGGUUCUCUGCUUUUAUUGGUUUAGUUCUCACUAAACUUGUUAGAGACACCUUCUCUAUCUCAAUCCCACUACUCAUUCUUGAGUAGUCUCAGUUUCCAUUGAUAUAACCUUUGCACUUUGGAACUUUUAAUUUUGACUUCUCAGAGUCAAUUUCCUGGGUGUCUCCGACACCUUACAUUGCACCUAUUGUGCAACUCCAGUUUCACAUCUUAUAAAGUUCUUUACCUGAGGGCAUCAUCAUCCUCUUUUCUAUUUUGUGCCACCUUUGGCACUAAGUUCCAGUUAUCAUAAUUUGUGCUAGGGCUAUCUACGGCCCUAUCAUUUAGUUGGAGCUUCCGCUUUCACCAAAUUGGAGCAAUUGAGAAUCCAUCCUUGGAAACACAUUGGCCUCCCCACAAUCCAUCAGCAUCCAACACAUUAGUGUUUUUAACUUAACUUUGCCAUUUGGGUUCUGUCCCAUGAUUCCCAUGGCUCUUGUCUUAGCCACUAGUCUUUUGCUUUUAUUUAUUGAUUAUUGCACUAAAUAACAUAAAAUCACUACUUUCAUCCUUGAGGUAUUCUUUUGAUUUCAUGGCAAAACCUCCACUUUGCCAAAUCCAGAGAGUGCUCACCCUUAGUAAGUCUCUUUAGUAUUUUCUGCUAUGGGCUCCAUCCAUGGCCUAACUCUGUGACCCUUCCAUGGGUCUCUCCUAGAGAUUAUUUUCUUUGAACUCAUUAUGCCAUUGCAUUCACAUAGCUCAUUUCCCUUAAGUGUUCUUCCCACUUGGUCACCUUGACCAAGCUACACCAUUAUCAUUAAUUCAAAUUAAUACUUUGAACUAGGAACCUUAUUCAUUACCUAAACAAGGACUUUGUCCUUAUUUAGACAUAAGAUCACUUAGUGAUCUCAUUUUGGCACCUUAACAAGUUUGUCAAUAGAUACUAGGUCUUUUAGACUUUUAAGUGUUUGACCAUGACCUCGAAGGCAUCCCCCAUACUUGGCGGUGUGCCCAAGCCAGCCCUUCCAGCCAAGGGUCCAUAGCAAUUGAGACUGGGUGUCCCCAUCUCAUUCACCACGUCCUUGGUGCCUCUUUCACCAAAGUGUUCAAAUUAAAUAUGCCAAACUUUCACUCUAAGCAAUCUAACCAUGUAUCACGACUCCCAGGCAUCCCCUGCUUGGCGGUGUGCCCAAGACAAUCUCCUCACUGAGAGUCCAUGACCACCGAAAUAUGAGUGUCCUCAUAUUCCAAACCAUCACCACGCCCUAGGACCCAAACCCAAGCACUAAAGGGUUGGGACUCGAACCCAACCUCCGUAUAUGCAUCUACGGAUGGCAUCACCUAGGAUGUCAGGCAUAACUCCCCACGCGGUACACCAAUUUAUACCUAAAGCGUGCUACAGAUCAAACUUUAGGAACAUAGUUCCUCUACAUUGCCAAGUCCUCUCACUUGACAAGUCUAUGAUCAUGUAUAGACUCUUUCAUACUUGGCCCUAUGGGCUGCCUUUUUUGAAGUUAGCACCUUCAACUAAGGUACUUGUUCCCCCAACUUGCUAACCUAGCUUAGUAAGUCAUCUGACUAUCGUAACAUGGUUCAUACAUAAGCGUGAAAGUCCUUAACCAUUGACUUUCGUUCAAAGCUAUCCCUUUGAACACUCAAGAAUUACUUCCCCUACCUUAUGGCAAGCUCUAAGACCACACUUCUGCUAUGCCACUCUGAUUUCGCGCAUUCUAUGAACCAUUUACAUUUGGUUUUCUAGGUACUAAACUACCUAGAAUUGUCUUUGGGCACAUUGAAGGAACUUUGUCCCUUAGUUUGCUAAGGCCUCUCUUUUCACAAGAUUUCUAAUUGCUAUAUAGUUUAACAUGGAUAAUUCUAUAUUUUAGACUCUCCAUGGCAUCACGAUUACUAGUAACAACACGUUUGAGCACCCUCUUAAUUCUCCACUCCCAACUUACAUAACCACCCUUGGUUAUGCCCUUUGAUUAAUAUGAUUCGGUUCUAUCCCUUUACUACUUGCUUUUGGCUUCACACAUUUCUUUCGGUUAUUCUCCUCCAGACUAAGAGAAUAGCUUUGCACUUUCUACCAUGCCUUAGCAAGUAUUCUUAGGGAUGAACUUACCUGAUAGCUUAGGGCGUGGUUCUUCAAUCCGGGUACGCUCACCUUGUAAUCCUACACACUGGGAUUAUUGUUGUUACUUAUGGGCCUUUAUAUGCCCAUCAUUAGCCUUGCCAAAAUUCCUUUUUGGCUUUGUCCAAUUCAGAUAGACAGACUACUCUUAUCUUCGCAACUUUGGACAUUGAAUAGCAUUUAUUACCCAUCAUUUGUUAAAGACUUAGUCCCUUGGGCUUUAUCUAAUGCCCUUAUAACACUAAAUACUACUUCUUAGUGUUUUAGAGCAUUUGGGUGUCCUAAUGAUGGCCUCUUUCAAUGAGCAUUCCCUUUAUAACAUUGACUUACUAUAUCGUAACAUAAGCAAUUUGUUCUCCAUAAGGGUAUAUCCAACUUCUUUAUCCCAAUAAAAAGUCUUAGAUAGUUACUUUCUGCCAAUUUAACCAAUUAUUUUGCACCUUUUGUUUAGUUGCCUCAUAGUGGUCAAGUCCUACAACUCAUUGUUGGUGCUUUCACACCUCCGUCAUUAUUUGGGUCACCAUACUCCAAUUGCAUUCUUUCCAGCUUAGGCUAUGCCAUUCCCAUUUCCACUAAGGUUCCUUUGGAAAGGAGUUCUUAUGAACUCGCCAAUUUAACCUUAAAGCAUCAUGCCUUGGCACAUUCAAUGUCUUCACACCAUCAGCUCCAUGAGCCUACCCUUAUGACACUUCUUACUUGUGUCUAAGUCUUUUCCAAAACUAAAACAGUUGUUUCUCAUACCAACUAUCUAUUAGUAUUGCACUAUAGAGUUUAUGCACAAUUUUGUGUCAAAGUUGUUUUCUUUUCUGGGGAACACCUUUCCCACGACUUUAGUAUAGCAUAUUCUACCAUCAAUGAGAUACCCACUGUUCUCAUACUUGGAUUUUAUGAUCCUCCCCAUCCUUCAUGGGGCACAAUACACCUCAAUCUAAAUGUUUUUACCAAUACCUUAGGACCAUUCCUUGACUUUACUUAAGUCAUCUAGCAUUUUUGGAUUUUGCUAAUCCAAUAACCUGUAAGGUUCUAUUUUUGAGGUGUCAGUUUGUUGAAAUACAACUUUGUGUAUUCAUGUACAAGGACCAUCUUUGCAAGUGUUGCUCUAACACUUGAUUAUUCCUCAUUUUCUAUAGGCUACUUUUGCUCCUUAGGACUAUCCAUCCAUAUGAUGAGAAUACCGACUCAUCUUCUGAGCACACCCCCAACUCCUUGGGUUUGUUCCAACAUUUAUAAAAGGUAACCCCGACUAUCAUUUCAAGGACUCAUGUCUUCAUCCAUAUUUGACCUCUCACGGUCAUUAAUUCCGGUCUCCAAUUCAUGAGCACCAGCCUCAACUAUAUGAGGAUAAUCUUGUGACUCAUUUAUUGUUUUGGAGUCCUUAUCUUUCUCGUGAUCCUAACUAUAGUUGUUUACGUCAAUUACAUUAAUCAAUUUGCUAAGUCAAAUGCUCAUCUAGAUCACAUCCUUAACUCUCUGAGAAAAACUUUAUACUGUUCCCAAGAUCCCAAAAUUAUUCCAUUAUUGGCCCUUUUCUAUCUACCACUUCAUCUACAAGUUCACACAUGAACUAUAGUGGAGAGCCAUGUCUUCCCGACUUACUACUCCCCAAGGAUAGGCCCACCCCUAGGACCUUCCGAUACCAACAUCAAUAAUGAUAUACUUGAGCAUCAAUAAAAGUCAAACUAAGGAACAACUCCGAUACCAAGUUGUAAGUGACUAAAUUUUCCAUUCUACUUUAAUCACUUAACCACACCUCCGACCACUUGGAAGAGUUUCACUCACAACCUCCAUAAGUCCUAUUUUGGACUUGGGGACUUGCUAGCCCCAAGAAUGGCAUCCAUACCACUCAACUAUUGCACUUGGUCCAAGUGCUCCACAUGUCUGAUCCCAUGACUGACACCUAAUGUACCAUCAACAUACCAGCCCGUUAUGCUAAGGCCAUACCCAUUCACCUUGGUCACACUGGUGGUUCAACACCACCUGCAUCACAGUCCCAUCUCUCAAAGACUGGGCCAUCUAUCCAUGAGUGACCAUCCUAGGUCCACUCAUUAACAUCUUUAAGAUGCCUGCAAACAUAGGGAACAGCCUUCCCCAAUAUCCAUUUUACAGUCCCCACCAAGUCCCUUUUUUGUCCAUGGCCGUGUUCACCAACACUGGCAUUGGGGCAAGGCCCACAAGCCCGACCACUAAGUCCCACUAUCCUCUAGGAUUUUCUCACCACAUGACCAUAUCCUUGGUCACUAUACCAAAGGACCAUUCCUCUUCCUUUCUAUAGUUUGGGAUUUUGGAACAACAUUUUGGAACACCGUGGCCCUAUGUGAGCUUCAUGGGUACUCUCCCUACCUUUUGCCUUUGGGUGCUUUAGCCAUGGGCUUAGAGCAAGGUUUUGUUGAGCCACACUAGGUAUCCAAGUAGGUAAUGCCACCCACACUUGGAUUAGGAGCAUUGGCCAUCGAUCUCCCGAGGGAACUAGAGCCGGCUCUUGAACACUUCACCAAGCUACCUUAUUUGUCGAUCUGUAUUCACUUUAGCUUUGGACAUCUCAAUGGUUAUCCCAUCACCCAACACCUAAGUACGGCCUUCUUGGGCCAAAUUGGCCUUUCCUAGCCAAACUGGUUCCACUAGAGUCCUCCCCCUACUAUACUUUUGGAGCUCACCAAGCCCCCCAAGGUCUGGGAGACAAAUGCUUUGGGCUUUCACCCUUGGACUCGAACUUGAACUCAGACUUAGACUUGGACUCGGGCUCAGUCUCGGCCUCAGCCUCAGUCUUGCUCUCGGUCUCAGUCCCACUCUUGUUCUCGGUCUCAAUCUCGGUCUUGACCUUGGACUUUAUCUCGGGUCCUUCUUGGACUCCAUCUUGGGUCCAUCUCGGACUCCAUCUCGGUCCAUCUCAGACUCCAUCUUGAGUCCAUCUUGGACUCCAUCUCCGGUCCAUCUCGGACUCCAUCUUGAGUCCAUCUUGAACUCCAUCUCAGACUCCAUUUCGGGUCUAUCUCGGACUCCAUCUUGGACUCUAUCUCAGACUCCAUCUUGGGUCCAUCUCAGACUCCAUCUCAGACUCCAUCUUGAGUCCAUCUCAGACUCCAUCUUGAGUCCAUCUCAAACUCCAUUUUGAACUCAACCACGUAUCAUGUGUUAGUCCUCUUAUGUCCCUUUUCUAGAGACUCUUUUAUUGCUCGCUUUGUGCUUGUUCCUCGAACACUUCAUUGGGAGUUCCACUCCUGCUCUUGACUUUUCAAGUCGAAGCUUUUAGUCCAAAUGUGUUAUGCUUGUUUGGCUUUCUCUUUGGCCACUACCACAUGGCACUCUUUCAACUCCACUUUGGGGCUUAGGGAUUUGUGUCUCACACUAGUUUGGCCAAGAAAGGCCAAUGUGACCUAAGAAGGCUAUGUUCACAUGUUGGGUAAUGAUAUAUCCAUUAAAGAGUCCAAGGCUAGAGUGAAUACAGAUUAACAAGUGGGGUAGCUUGGUGAAGUGUUCAAGAGCUCGCUUUAGUUCCCCUGGGAGAUCGAAUGGUCAAUAUUCCUAAUCCAACCAUGGGUGGCACUACCUACUUGUAUACCUGAUAUGCUCAACGGAACCUCGCUCUAGCCCCAUGGCUAGAGCACCCAAAGGUGGAAGGUGGGGAGAGUACCCAUAAGGUUUGCGUAGAGUCAUUAUUCUGAAAUGUUGUCCCAAAGUCCCGAACUGUGAAAAGGAAUCCUCUUGCGUAGUGACCAAGGAUACAGUCACAUGUGGAGGAAGUCCUAGAGGACUAUAGGACUUAAUGGUUAGGCUUAUGAGCCUUAACCCAAUGGCAAUGUUGGCGAACACGACUAUGGACAAAAAAAGACUUGGUGAGGACUGAAAAAAGAAUAUUGGGGAAGGCUAUUCCCCAUGUCUACGGGUCUAAGGAUGUUAAAGAGUGGAUCUAGAAUGAUUACUUAUGGACAAAUGGCUUAAUUUUUGAGAGACGAGACUGUGAUGUAAGUGGUGUUCGAUCACCAUGUGACAAAGGUGAAUGGGCAUGGCUUUAGCAUAACGGGCUGAUAUAUUAAUAGUACCUUUGGGUGUUGGUCAUAAGAUUGAACACGUGGAGCACUUGGAUUAAGUGUAAAGGUUGAGUGGCAUAAAUGCCAUUCUUGGGGCUAGCAAGUCCCUAAGUCUGGAAUAAGACUUAUGGAGGUUGUGAGUGAGUGUCGCAAAUGUGACUUCAGGUAUCGAAAGUUACCUGUCGGCUAGUCCUUUCUGAUAUUCUUUCCUUACUACCACGACGGCAGGAGGUCGAUAUUACUAGACUCAUUAUCAAUCUCCACCUGAGCUAGUUGAGAAACUGGUCAUCACAUGUGCACUUAGACCGGAAGGGCACUAAGGAAGGAAAUCCUAAGUUGUCAUUUGUCAAGCAGACUUGACACAGUGAUGAGAAACUUAUGAUGUUGACUUGCACUUGCUAGUGUUGGGAACCCCUGCGAUAUUGAGCUUGGUCCCUCAAUAUCGCUAGAUGAUAGCUUACCGUGUCUGCCAAACACCCUCGCUAUCAUGCCCUUAGCGUUAGUCUCAAUUCGGUCCCAAAUGUUAUUUAUGGAAAGUGUCCAGAUUUGCUCAUUUGGCAUAUCUACGGAAUGUAGAAAUCGGCCUGAACACACUAGUGUUCAUCCCAUGUCCAAAUUCGCAAUCUAACGCCAUUCCAUAUUUAGUAGAUUUCGAGCUUGUCCCAGAGACUAACUCCUGAUACUAAGGGAGGCUUGGGGUGAAAGCCCAAAGCGUGUGUUCCUUAAGGGGGGGGGGAGGCUGUGGGGGGUUCCAAAUGUAUAGUAGGGAUAGUGGGUAAGUCGGGCAUGGCCGACCAACCUGAGGCAUAGUUUAGCUCCCGCUUGGGUGCUUGUCCUUGUUCUGCGUUUGGCUUGGGUCUAAGCCCAAGUUCUAUUCCAUGCUAGAUGGUGGAGUACCCAUAUUCUCACGUUAAGCCACCGGUAUGCCGAAAUAGUGCCAAACUUCGUUUAACUCCAUUUUGCGUGCUAGUCCUGGCAUUGGGAUGCUGGUUGCUCCAGGACUGUUCCAAGUCACUCCGGCCUCCUGUCCCUUUGCUCCUUGAGCUGUAUGCUCGAGAGUUGCUCCAUGGUUCAAUUUCGUCACUCCUUGGCUCCAUGCUUAGGAGUUUGGCACUGUUCCUUUGUUCAAUGGCCCAAGGCCCUAAGCCUCGGGUUCCACACCGUGUUCCUUUGGACACGUGGCAUCUAUCACGUGGCACAAAGAGGGUUUAGGUUCCACUUCGUGGUGUUAUCCUAUGGUAAAUCACCAUAGGAUAAAGGGUCAAAACCACGUGUGCUACAUUUGGUAUCAGAGGAUGAGUCUCAGCGAGUACUAUCCAAUGAGAUUGGGCAACUAGUCUUGUUACAUACGCAGAGAUGAAAAUGAUGAUCCGAGUGGGUACACGUUUGGAUACUAAGAUUUCACAUUCGUUUCCUUGGGUAUGGAUUUUGGUUACCUUUUUGUACCACAUUGUAUGAGCUUGUUGUUGGGCUCAUAAGAGGGAUUGCGUUGUUCCGUUUGCACGAGUUUGCACUUGGGCUUGUGAGUGAGGCACAUUAGCAACUCAAGGUUGCACUUUGAGUUGACAGGAUUAAUGUAAGCCUAUCGGUGGUUCCAUGAAUUGUUCCAGUGGUUCCAUGAGUUGUUCCAUGUACCAUGGGUGAAAGUAAACCUUUCCUGGGUUUGCUAUGAGUGGCAAAUAGGCUAGUUCAUAGCUAUUUAGCAUGGCACUAGUGGAUCCUUCCUAGGCAUGAUUAUGAGUGGAUCAAUCAAGACUGUAGGGAUUGGUCUAUUGGUUCAAAUAAUCAUUGCCAUGCUCUCUCAUAAAUUUUUCUUUUAUUGGACUGAAGGUAGUGCAAAAGCAAGCUUGAGGUUUAGUCAAAGAUGAGACCGAAAAGAGAGUCGUCAGGGAUAAAGGAUCAAACACGUAAAUCAUCUUCUCUUCUUGAAGAGAUGAUUUGCAAUGAAGAGUGACUCAUUGCUCGUGUUCACAAUAUGCAAUCAAGAGUCCUUACCUUGAUGCAUGUUGGUUAUGAUGGUCUUACAAAUGAUGAGUGGGAUGGAUAGUAGUGAAGCGCUAUACCAUUUUGUCUAGGCUUGCUAUUGGAAGACUUGGGUUACAAUGCUCAAUUUUUUUUCGGGGAACCCUGCUAUUGCUCCUUGAGUAGCUUGGUGUUAGAUUAAUUUUGAGUUUGGUUGGAAAGAGAGUGGCAUGAGCUUGUACAUGUAGUUAGUGGUGUUAAGUGUUGUAAAUCUCUAUCGAUAAGGUGUGGCUUUUAUGUAGCAUUUUGUCGAAUUGAGUUAGCACUUGAUAUUCAUAUAAACCUUUGAAGUAAUGACAUGGGUGUUGCUCGUGGUGUUGCUCAAUUGAUGAUCAAUUCGUUGUGAUACUUAUAUCAUAUCCAUGUGAUAAUGAGCAAUGUGUUUACGAAGUUGCUUGGGUAAAUGAUGAUCAACCCCAAAGUGGUUGAUGGUGAAGCUAGUCUACUUGCACAAAGUAGCAUUGUAGUAGCUUUGACUGAAUUCUCGAUGAUGAUCCAUUAUGCUAAGCUUAAGUUGGUUCCUUGUUCCUUGAGGGUUUGCCCAUAAGGUGUUGGAAAGGGUUAUAGGAUUUACUUGCUAUGGCUUGUUGGUUUAUCUGUUAACACUUGGAGUAGAUUGUUAGAUGGAAAAAAUGUGUAGUUGAGGCAUUGACAUUACUAACACUUAUGUUAGUAGAAGUGGCAUUGUUAUUUCGAGUGAUGAGAAAUUUUCCUUAGACCUUGAUUUUUCAUGUCAUUUUUCUUGUUAGUGUUUUGGCUUCACAUUAGAUCUUGAAAGUGGUUAAAGAAAAGUGUUAGUGCAAUGUGGAUAUCCGAAGAUGUGGUCUUUGUGAUCAAGCCUUGGAUGUUCACUUUGCAUUUUGCAGAUGUCAGUGUUGGAUGUCGGAAGUAUAGGCAAAAAGAUGUUUGAAGCUUAAGCAUACUAUGAUGUCAGUGUUGGAUGUCGGAAGUAUAGGCAAAAAAAUGUUUGAAGUUUAAGCAUACUAUGGGUCAUGAGAAUUAGUGUUGAAGUGAACCUAUGUGAAAUUGUAGAUGUAAGGUCCUGAGUUUGGACUUCCUGGGAGGUCACCCAGCCCAGUACUAUUCAAACCCAAGGACGCUUAACCCUAAGUAUCCCAAGACCCUUAACCGAUUGGAAAAGAGGGUGCACUCUUGUUCAUGGGCCCUUUCCCUUUAUAUUUGAAACCCUAUGGAUCGUCUCUCGAAUUGUUCCCUUUGAUUGCUUACAGUAAGUAGGAAGAAGUUGGUUGAGUUUUGAAAGCUUGCAUUCUUGGACUGAAAGUCAUUCUUUCUCUAAGAUGGAAAUUUUCCACAAAUUUUCUUAGACUUUUCCAAUGGCUGAUCUAUUGAUCAUUUUUAUCGAAAACCAUUUCAUUUUCGUAAGCCAAUACAAAGUAGUGAAGGGGUUAGAGUUGACUUCGAUUAGCUUAGACCUUAGUAAGUUUGUAUGAUGCGGCCCGAAAGGGAUGCUAACUUUUGGGGCUAAAGCAAGAAUUUUGUUGGAUGGUGAAUCUUAUGUUUUCCAAUGAUUGUGAUCUUGGUGGUUCCUAUACUGUAAUAUUAGUUUAUCGGAUGGUAACUUACUUGGAAUAAUUUUGUGUUCUAAUCUAAGCUUUUUUCACUAAUAAUUAAGUCUUUAAGAUAUCAUUGUUUAUGACUUUGAUAUUGUCCAUCUAUUGAUCUUUGAAGUUUUGGCCAAUACAGGCAAACUGGCUUUGGCACUUCGUAUGUAUGGUGAAAUCUUUAGUCAUGGGGUAGCUACUAUCGACUGGUCACAUCACCCGCCUCUCUGUCCAUGUUCCUUAUUCCGUUAAAAGGGCGUGACUGUGUAAACAACUCUUAUUGCCUGUUUACAGUAGUUUACCUAAACUUUACCGACGGGUUUGGUUUCUUUACUCAGGAGGAUUGGGGCUUCUAGCUUCUCUCUCUAUGUUUUUGUGGGUAGGGGCAUAUCACACUUUUGUAAGCUGGGUGACUCCCAGAGCAGCAAGGGUGGCUGACUCCGUUGGUCAUUUCCUUGUCGGCGACGGCUGGAAGUGUCUGAGUUGGUAGCACAUCCGCAUUAGACAAAGAGGUUACCCCCUAACUCAUUUAAUUUGGUGCAUUUCUCACAUAGUGUGAGUACCGUGAACUUUUUUCUGGAGUUCUUUCCUUGGCGGUAUUCUAGAUUGGAGUAUGCAUUGACAAGGAUGUCGAUCUUUGCAAGGGGGGGAGAGUGUCGCAAAUGUGAUUUCAGGUAUCGAAAGUUACCUGUCGGCUAGUCCUUUCGGAUAUUCUUUCCUUACUCCCACAAUGGCAGGAGGUCGGUAUUGUUGGACUCGUUAUCAGUCUUCACCUAAGCUAGUUGAGAAACUGGUCAUCACAUGUGCACUUAGACCGGAAGGGCACUAAGGAAGGAAAUCCUAAGUUGUCAUUUGUCAAGCAGACUUGACACGGUGAUGAGAAACUCAUGAUGUUGACUUGCACUUGCUAGUGUUGGGAACCCCCGCGAUAUUGAGCUUGGUCCCUCAAUAUCGCUAAAUGAUAGCUUACCGUGUCUGCCAAACACCCUCGCUAUCAUGCCCUUAGCGUUAAUCUCAAUUCGGUCUCAAAUGCUAUUUUGUAAGCGACUAAAUUUUCCAUUCUACUUUAGUCACUUAACCACACCUCCGACCACUUGAAGGAGUCUCAUUCACAACCUCCAUCAGUCCAAUUUAGGACUUGGGACUUGCUGUCAAGACCCCCAACAAGAUCAAGACUGGAAAAUGCUAAAGACAAAGAGAAAAAGCUAGUGAAAACAAAGAAAAGGCCUUAGACUGGUGUUGAUUCAGAUUGUGGAGAAAGGGAACAAGGCUAACCUAUAUAUACUAUAGGUUGAUGAAGCUCCACCACUCUUGGAUCGAGGACGGCCUAAAUACAGCUGAGGUCGAGGAGGCGCCACAUCAUCAUCAGGAAUGUGGCUCGAGACUCAGGAAUCGAGAAGUGUCUCGAGACUCAGGAAUCGGGAAGUGUCUCGAGAGUCAGGAAUAGGGAAGUGUCUCGAGAGUCAGGAAUGUGGUCUACAGGUCAGGAAUCCGGCGAGAGUCAGGAAUGUGGCAAGAAUUGGGGGAUUCCUGACAGCACCCCCUCCUCAAGAACGAGUGGAACGAGGAUGUGAACGAGAACGAAGAGGAGGAUGAGAUGAGCGGCGAGGGAUGGGAGAGGGAGAAAAGAAAUGAGGACUGGGACGAGAAGGAUAGCGGCAGUGGAAGUCCUGAACAAGGUCAGGAGAAUGAAUCAGGUUGUCCGCAGGUUCCCAAGUGCGUUCCUCAGGUCCGUAACCCUUCCAGUCCACUAGAUAGUAGAGUUUAGACCGUGAAAUCUUUGAAUCAAGGAUGUCCUGAACCUCGUACUCAGACCCAUCCUCGAGCUGCACUGGUGGAGGCGGAGGAAUGACCCGAUUUGGAAUAGGACUGGGAAUAUAAGGCUCAAAGAGAGAGGAGUAAAAAACGGGGUGAAUUUGAUAUGAGGAGGGAAGUGCAAGGCGAUAAGUGACAGGAUUAAUGAUGGCAGUGAUAGGGAAAGGACCAAGGCGUUUGAAAUCGAGUUUUGGACAGGGCUUGGUGGUGGAGAUAUUUCGCUUGAGGAGCCAGACUUUAUCCCCGAUAUUGUAAGGGGGACAAUCCUGACGAUGGACAUUGGCAAAUGUUUUAUGAGAUUCCUGAGCACGAUGGAGGUGGAAGGAGAUGGAGUUGUGGAUUUCCUGGAGGUUGGAGAUAAAUGCCUUAGAGCGGGGAUUUGAACGAGAGGAUUCAUAUGGAGAAGGAAGUGAGAGAUUGAAUCGGGGAUUUCGGCCAGAGUUCGCAAAGAAGGGGGAAACUCGAAGAGAGGAGUGAACAGAGUUGUUAUAGGAAAACUCAGCAAGGGGAAGGAUAUCAAACCAGUUAUCCUGAUGAUAGUUGAUGAAGCACCUCAAGAAUUGUUCCAACGUCUGAAUCGUUCGCUCAGACUGCCCAUCAGUUUGAGGAUGAUAUGCCGAAGAGAGGUUGGCCUUCACUCCAAGCAGCUGCAAAAACCGUUGCCAAAAAUGAGAGAUGAACUGAGGCCCCCGAUCCGAAACCACAUCUGUAGGAAUCCCAUGAAGUCGGAAAAUUUCCCUGAAUACCAGUUUUGCCAUGUCCUCGCCCGAAAACUCCUUGGUACAUGGCAAGAAGUGCGCCAUCUUUGUGAAGCGAUCCACCACGACUAAAAUGCUGUUGAAGCCUCCAGAACUCGGAAGAUCACUCAAGAAAUCCAUGGAGAUGGAUUCCCAAGGACCUGAAGGGACCGGAAGGGAAUGAAGCAAACCUGAAGGAAGGUGGCGAGGUACCUUAUUCCGGGCACAAGUGUCACAGGAGGUAACAAAAGCUUUGAUGUAGUCGUCCAUGUGAGGCCACCAAAAGUCCCGUGCAACUAGCUCAUAGGUUUUUGCAAUGCCGAAGUGACCAGCAGUCGGGCUAUCAUGGCACGCCAUCAGGACCAACCUUCGAGCAUCACCUUCAGGAACGUAAAGCUGCUCCCCACGGUACAAUAAGCCAUCGAAGAACUCGAACUCGUCAAAUCGCCGGCAGUCGGGAGUCACUGGGUGUCCAGCCUGAAGAUGGGGGAAAAUGUCGCUAGCGAGAUCAUCGGAUUGAAGAUCGUUUCUGAUUGCAUCCAUCAAGGAGGAGUCCUGAGGGGCCAGGGAAAUUGCCAUAACUUGAAGCCGAUCAGGACCGAGGAUAACUUGAUCCUGUUGAUCGAAGGCAGGAUUACCAGGCCUGAGACUGAGAUAGGAGCGCCUUGAAAGAGCAUCAGGAAGGCCUUGAAACUUUCCAGGUCUGUACUUGAUAACAAAGUCAAACCGACUCAGGAAUUGUGCCCACCUUGCUUGACGACGGCUUAAAACUCGGGAAGUGGCAAAGUACUCAAGAUUUUUGUGAUCCGUCCAGACUGUUGUUUGAUGGCUCGCCCCCUCCAAGAAACGGCGCCACUCUCCAAAGGAAUCCACGAUGGCAAGGAGCUCCUUGUCGUGGAUUUCGUAAUUGAUCUCCGCAGGCUGGAAUUUCCGAGAAUGGAAAGCGACCGGAUGAAGUUCGUGAUCCGCUCCGAGUUGAGACAGCAUAGCACCAAUGGCAAAGUCGGAGGCGUCAGCCUCGAUGAAGAAAGGUUGUGAGGAAUCAGCAUGGAUCAAGACAGGAGCAGAACUGAAGGCUGCCUUGAGUGUGUCGAAGGCCUGCUGGGCAGCAGCAGACCAAGAGAAGGGAACAUCCUUGCGAGUGAGAUGUGUGAGAGGAAGGACAAUGUCAGAGUAGUGAUCAAUGAAUUUGCGGUAGAAGUUGGCGAAGCCAAGGAAAACCUGAACGUCCGACAUUGAUUGUGGAGGCUCCCAUUCGAGAAUAGUCUUGACUUUAGCAGGAUCCCAUCGUGAUACCCUCAGGAGUGACAAUGUACCCAAGGAACUCCACAGACUGCUGAUCAAAGGAACAUUUCUCAAGCUUCGCGUAUAGACCGUGUUCUCGCAGCUUCGCUAGCACCUUGCGAACAUGUUCGUCAUGCUCCUCCUGAGUUUUUGAGUAGAUGAGGAUGUCAUCGAGGUAGACGAUCACCAUCUGAUCAAGAAACUCCCGAAAAACGUCGUUCGCCAUGUGUUGGAAAACUGCUGGAGCAUUUGUCAAGCCAAAUGGCAUGACAGUGUACUCGAAGUGGCCAUAGCGGGUUUGGAACGCAAUCUUCCAUUCAUCACCAGACUGGAUCCAGAUCAGGUUGUAUGCUCCACGGAGGUCGAUCUUGGUGAAGAAGCGGGCACCACCGAGGCGUUCCAACAGGUCUGAGAUCAAGGGCAGCGGAUAAUGGUUCCGAACAGUCACCUUAUUCAAACCUCGAUAGUCGAUGACUAGCCGCAAGCUCCCAUCCUUCUUCUUGACAAAGAAGACAGGCGCUUCAGCCGGGGACUGCGAAUGCUGAAUGUAGCCCGAGGCAAGGUUCUCAUCCACGUACUCUUUGAGGGCCUUAAGCUCGGACGGGGAUAACCCGUAGAUAGGCCCCCACGGAGGUGACGCUCCUUCCUGUAAAUCAAUGGGACAAUCAUAAGGCCGAUGAACAGGCAGUACACUAGCUUUUUUCUUGUCAAACACAUCCCCAAAAUCAUGAUACUUCUCAAGAAGACUGAUAGGAGAAACAUGCAAAGCAAAAAGAAAAAGAGGUUCUUCAUGAAGGAGUUCUUUCAUAGUGAUUGUGGAGAUAGGAGAAGGGGUAUGACUAAAUGGAAUGACGAGACGAGGAUACUGUCCAGUGUAAGAUGGAAGGGAGGAAAAAGAAGAGGAUGAAAACUUUGUAGAGUCAGGAACAGAACCCCGACUUGAGUUUAGGGAACUUUUCCUGAUUCGGACUCGAUGAACACCAGGGGAAGCCGUGGGAGAUGGUGAUGGGGGAGAGAUGAGCUGUAAGUCCUUCCAACAAAUCUGAGGCUGAUGUAGUUGGAACCAAGGAAGACCGAGCACCACAGAGGAGGACUUGCUGUUGAUGAUGUUGAAGGCGAUAUCGGUGACGGUGGACCCGAUGUGUACUCGAACGGGCAACGUUUCCCUAAGUCCAGAAGAUGGAGACACAAAAUGCCCGCCGAUGCCUUCAACCCUCAGAUCCCGUAUGGUAGGAGAAAGAGGAACGUGAUGUCGGGCAGCAAAGUCCGUGUCCAUGAAGCAGGAAGUUGCACCCGAGUCCAGUAGCGCCAAAGCCUUGAGUCCUGAUUGUCCGGUGAAAGAAAGGAGACAUGGGACACGGAAGUUGCGGGAAUUGGUGGUGGCUUUGAUGAAAGGUGGUGAGGAGCUUGAUAAGGAAGAAAAGUGAUUUUUAUUUGGGGAGUCCAAACAGACAGCUCCUACUCUGUUUGGACAGGGUCGUUUCCCGACUGCAACAGAAGUGGACUUUGAGGCAGAGUGAACUCGAGCAAUCGGGGAGGCUUCCUGGGACACACAGCUGCUUUGUGAGUAGGAUCAGCACAGUAGAGGCAAAGAUUAUGAGAUAUUCAACAUUGCCUCUCAGUAGGACUCAACUUCCCUCUAAUGAGUCGGGGAGUACCAGAAACAUCCAUCGGGACCGGAGCAGUAGGUUCAGGACUAUGCCCCGAAGACUCAAGCUGGGAUUCCUGAGUCUGGGACGGAAAAACAGCGGCGCGGCGACUUUCCUGACGACGUUCAAAGAGACGAUUGUCACAUCGAACAGCUUUGUUGAUGGCGUCCGACAGGUCCUUGGGAUCCUCCAUGGUGAGCAACAAAUCCUUGACACCGUUGUUGAGGCCAAAACGAAAUUGGUCAAUCAGAGCCCGCUCAUCCCACUGAGUGUCCAAGGCAAGGAGUUGGAACUCUGCAGCGUAGAUCAAGGCAGGACGAGACCCCUGAGAGAGACGUCUCAUCUUUGUGGUAGCAGCCCGAACCCGAUCCGUCUCGCCAAAACAUGCUUCGAGCUUCUCUUUGAACAAUUGAAGAUCCAUUAGCUCCGGAACCACGACCCCUUUCAUGCUCUUCUCCAGAAGAGGAGAAAACCAUGACAAAGCUGCACCCUCGAGCAACGUCCCAAUCGCGCCGAUUUGAGACUCAGGAGUGGGGUACCGCCGAUGUUGAAGUGCAAAGAUCAGCUCCAUUUGGUUCAAAAAUCCACGAAGCUCCGAACGCUUGCCUGAAAAUUUCGCCGGGAAACUCACCUUCGGUUCAGGAACUUUGCUGGAUCCUUGAGCCGAAAGUGAAGCAAGCUCCUGCUGCAUGCGAAGAAGGGUCGCCUUCAGCUCGGUAUUCUCAGACUGGAUUUUUGCAAGGACUUCGGCAAAGAAAUCAGGAUGGCUUGGAGACUCCAUUGGCAAGAAGAAAGAAAAGAAAAGGGGGAAAAAGACAAAGGCAAUCAAAUAAUCAAAACGAGCUAAAAGAAAAGCAAAAAACACAAUCUGAAUCAAACUGUCAAGACCCCCAACAAGAUCAAGACUGGAAAAUGCUAAAGACAAAGAGAAAAAGCUAGUGAAAACAAAGAAAAGGCCUUAGACUGGUGUUGAUUCAGAUUGUGGAGAAAGGGAACAAGGCUAACCUAUAUAUACUAUAGGUUGAUGAAGCUCCACCACUCUUGGAUCGAGGACGGCCUAAAUACAGCUGAGGUCGAGGAGGCGCCACAUCAUCAUCAGGAAUGUGGCUCGAGACUCAGGAAUCGAGAGGUGUCUCGAGACUCAGGAAUCGGGAAGUGUCUCGAGAGUCAGGAAUAGGGAAGUGUCUCGAGAGUCAGGAAUGUGGUCUGCAGGUCAGGAAUCCGGCGAGAGUCAGGAAUGUGGCAAGAAUUGGGGGAUUCCUGACAUUUGCUAGCCCCAAGAAUGGCAUCCAUGCCACUCAACACUUGCACCUGGUCCAAGUGCUCCUCGUGUCCGGUCCCAAGACCGACACCCAAAGGUACCACUGACAUCUCGGCCCGUUACGCUAAGGCCAUGCCCAUUCACCUCUGCUGCACUAGUGGUCCAAUACCACUUGCAUCACAAUCCCGUCUCUCCAAGACUGGGCCAUCUGUCCACGAGUGGUCAUCCUAGAUCCACUCCUUAGCAUCCUUAGGAUGCCCACAGACCUGGGGAAUUGCCUUCCCCAAAGUCCUUUGCCAGUUCCUACCAAGUCCAUUUCUGCCCCUGGCCGUGUUUGCCAACACUGCCACUGGAUCGAGGCCCACAGGCCCGACCUCUAAGUCCCAUGGUCCUCUGGGACUUCCUCACCACACGACUGUGUCCUUGGUCACUACCCCAGAGGUCUGCUCCUCUUCCUUUCCACAGUCUAGGCCUUUGGGACAACAUUUCGGAACACCGUGGCCUUACGCGAGCCACCUGGGUACUCUACCCGCCUUUCGCCUUUAGGUGCUUUAGCCAUGGGCUUAGAGCGAGGUUCCAUUGAGCCACGCCUGGUAUCCAAGUAGGUAGUGCCACCCACACUUGGACUGGGAGCAUCGGCCAGUCGAUCUCCCGGGGGAACUAGAGCCGGCUCUUGAACACUUCACCAAGCUACCCCGCUUGUCGGUCCGUAUUCACUCUAGUCUUGGACUUCCCAGUGGUCAGUUCAUCACCCAACACUGGGUCUGGCCUUCCUGGGCCAAACUGGCCUUUCCUGGCCAAACUGGCUCCACUGCAGUCCUCCCCCUUACUAUACUUUUGGAGCUCACCAAACCCCCCAGGGUCUGGGAGACGAACGCUUUGGGCUUUCACCCUCUCAGACUCGAACUCGGACUCGGACUCGGACUCGGACUCGGACUCGGUCUCAACCUUGGCCUCGGCCUCGGUCUCGGUCCCGGUCCCGGUCUCGGUCUCGGUCCCGGUCUCGGUCUCGGUCUCGAUCCCGGUCUCGGCCUCCAUCUCGGACUCCGUCUCGGUCCAUCUCGGACUCCAUCUCGGGUCCAUCUCGGACUCCGUCUCGGUCCACCUCGGACUCCAUCUCGGACUCCAUCUCAGGUCCAUCUCGGACUCCAUCUCGGACUCCAUCUCGGGUCCAUCUCGGACUCCAUCUCGGACUCCAUCUCGGGUCCAUCUCGGACUCCGUCUCAGUCCACCUCGGACUCCACUUCGGGUCCAUCUCGGACUCCAUAUCGGACUCCAUCUCGGACUCAACUUCGGGUCCAUCUCGGACUCCAUAUCGGACUCCAUCUCGGGCUCCACUUCGGACUCCAUAUCGGACUCCAACUAGGGUCCGCCUCGCUUAUUGCUCGCUUCAUGCUUGUUCCUCGAGCACUUUGUUGGGAGUUCCCCUCCCGCUCUCAACCUUCCAAGUCGGAGCUUUUAGUCCAAACGUGUUACGCUCGUUUGGCUUUCGCUUCGGCCACUACCACAUGGCACCCUUCCGGCUCCACUUUGGGGCCUAGGGAUUUUGUGUCUCACAUAUUUAUGGAAAGUGUCUAGAUUUGCUUAUUUGGCAUAUCUACGAAAUGUAGAGAUCGGCCUGAACACACUAGUGUUCAUCCCGUGUCCAAAUUCGCAAUCUAACGCCAUUCCAUAUUUAGUAGAUUUUGAGCUUGUCCCAGAGACUAACUCCUGAUACUAAGGGAGGCUUGGGGUGAAAGCCCAAAGCGUGUGUUCCUUAAGGGGGGGGGAGGCUGUGGGGGGUUCCAAAUGUAUAGUAGGGAUAGUGGGUAAGUCGGGCAUGGCCGACCAACCUGAGGCAUAGUUUAGCUCCCGCUUGGGUGCUUGUCCUUGUUUUGCAUUUGGCUUGGGUCUAAGCCCAAGUUCUAUUCCAUGCUAGCUAGUGGAGUACCCAUAUCCUCACGUUAAGCCACCGGUAUGCCGAAAUAGCGCUAAACUCCGUUUAGCUCUAUUUUGCAUGCCAGUCCUGGCAUUGGGAUGCUGGUUGCUCCAGGACUGUUCCAAGUCGCUCCGGGCUCCUGUCCCUUCGCUCCUUGAGCUGUAUACUUGAGAGUUGCUCCAUGGUUCGGUUUCAUCACUCCUUGGCUCCAUGCAUGGGAGUUUGGCACCGUUCCUUCGUUCAGUGGCCUAAGGCCCUAAACCUCGGGUUCCACACCGUGUUCCUUUGGACACGUGGCAUCUGUCACGUGGCACAAAGAGGGUUUAGGUUCCUAUGGUAAAUCACAAUAGGAUAAAAGGUCAAAACCACGUGCGCUACAGUGAGACUCCUCUAAGUGGUCAAAGAUAUGGUUAAGUGAUUAAAAUAGAAUGGAAAAUUUAGUUGCUUAUAGUGAUAUAGCUAGCAAAAACAAAUGGCUUGAAAAAUAAACCUCUAUCUAAAGCUUGUUGGAAUGAUUUAGUCAUUUUUAUCCUUCAAUAGACCUUUAUACAUACUUAUAUAAAAUGCCAAGUUAUAAGAAAUGGACUAAAUCUUGAGGAUUUAGUGGAAUGCUUAUCUAUUAACAUUGAAAUUAUUAGAAGGAAGUGAUAAACAAGCAAGCCAAAUUAGCCAAUAGUUUUGCACUGUCCCAAGUAUGAGUAUAUUAUUAGAGAACGAGGAGGAUGAAUAAUUUUGAGCAACUAAGAUCUUAGGUGCUUCCAAGUUAAAGAACAAAAAAUUUAUAAAAUUGAGUGGGUUAUAUGACGACCUAGAGUAGGAUCUGUAGUCAAGUGUCUUAAUUGGAUUGGAGGAAAAAUAUGUGGUAAACAAAUUACCUUAGGAAUUUUAUGCGACAUGAUCUUCUAUAAUAUUAUGAUUAAUUUAUAUGGUUUUAUCCAAUAACUAUUCUUAAGAAAUUCUAAAAGUAAAAAACAACAAAUAUGUGAAAAUUACAAAUACUUAGUCAAAGGAAGCAAAGGCAAUAUACUCAAAAGCAUUACAAUUGAAGAUGGAAGUUAAUAUUGUCAGCAUUAAGUAAUAAUAUCAUUAUCACAAAUAUAUAGUUCUCAAUUAUGGAACUGAUACUCUAAACAGAAAGGUUUGCAACAUUAUAAUCAAUCAAUUCUUAAGUUGUACUUGCGUAUACUUCUUUCAAUAGUAGACUUCUAAUAAAUCUUUCAUCCUUUGUAAACAUAUAUAUUUUGUAUAUUGUAUGUUUCUUGGGAUGGAUUAAAACUCUACAAUAUCUAAACAUGAGAUGUUCAUGAUAUUGAGAAAUAAUUAGAUAUUGCUAUUGUAUUUGAAUUUCAUAUAUUAUAAAUAAGUUUUUAUUUAUAAAUUACAUCUAAAACAACAUAUCUUAUAAUAGGAAUUUUAUAGUAAAAAAAAAUUAAAUAUAAAUAUACAUUAUAAAUUAGAGGAUGCUAACUUAAAUAAUUAGUAUAAUACUAAUUAUUAAAUAUUAAAAAUAAUAUUUUCUUCUGUAAACUAGUUAAUAAAGCAAAAUGUCUAUUAAAUAGCAACUAUUGCCACUAACUGGAAGUUUAUACAGAUCUAAAUAUUUAAAAUGAUUAUUUUAGUUUAAAAUACUAAAACCUUAAAAAAAUAUUCUUUAUUGUGCUAAAAUAUUUUUAAGAUAUUCUUGUCAACUCCAGCGGAUUGUCCGUUUGGACCAUGACGAGCAGUUGAUUCGCCGAAUAUUUUCUAUAUAGCUCCCACACACACAACGACGCGAUAAAAGUCUUCUGGGGGUGUUCCAGACAGUGGAGCGCUGUUAUAAGGUAUAGCUUGAGCACUUAGAAAUCUCUAGCUCCCAUGGCCACCAUGAAUGGAUCGCCCAAGAUCGAUCCAGACGCCCUCGUCGAUGCCUGGCUCACGAGAUUGGAUUCCUCUCUCGCCUCCGGCGACCCAUCGGCCGCUGCCAAUCUCUUCGAGGAAUCCACUUCUUUCUGGCGAGAUCUCAUCGCGUUCACCUGGAACAUCGUCACGGUCGAGGGCCGGUCACAGAUCCACUCCAUGCUCGAAUCUACGCUCGAAUCGGUCGCGCCCAAGGGUUGGACCCGCCACGGUACCGCCAACUACAGCGCGGACUCGGGCGUCAUCGAGGCCUGGAUCAAGUUCGAGACGCGCGUCGCGGUAUGUACGGGGCAUUUGCGCCUAGUGGCCACUACUUCCCUCUGCCGUACGCUACUCACCGCCAUGGAGGGGCUCAGGGAUUUCCCAGAGAAGAAGGGCCGUACGCGGCCCAACGGUGUGACGCACGGCGUCAUACGGCACCGCGCGUCAUGGCUGGACGGGCGCAAGGAAGAUGAGCGGACGCUGGGCAGUACCGUGCAGCCCUAUUGCGUCAUUGUCGGGGGCGGGCAGGCGGGUAUCGGGCUUGCCGCGCGGCUCCGGCAGCUCGGCGUGCCGUGCAUUGUUGUAGAGAAGAACCCGCGGCCGGGCGAUUCCUGGAGGAACCGCUACAAAUCGCUGUGCCUCCACGAUCCGGUGUGGUAUGAUCAUCUCCCCUAUUUGCCAUUCCCGGAGAAUUGGCCGAUCUUCGCGCCCAAGGACAAGAUGGGAGAUUGGCUGGAGGCGUACACCAAGAUCAUGGAGAUCAACUACUGGACCUCCAGCGAGUGCCUGGGAGCUCGAUUGGAUCCACAGUCCGGAGAGUGGGAGGUGAAGAUCCUGCGAGAUGGGAGCAAGGAGGUAACCUUGCGACCCAAGCAGCUCAUCCUGGCGACCGGGAUGUCAGGAUUUCCCAAUGUGCCACGGGUUCCCGGGCAGGAGGAAUUCGUGGGCGAUCUCCAUCACUCGAGCAAGCAUCCGGGAGGCGAAGCUUACAAGGGGAAGAGAGCGGUGAUCCUGGGAUCCAACAAUUCGGCCCACGACAUCGCCGCCGAUCUCUGGGAGAAUGGCGCCGCGGAGGUGACGAUGAUCCAGCGAUCCUCCAGUCACGUUGUUCGAUCGGAGUCGCUUUUCCGCUUCCUGACGCAGGAGAUCUACUCGGAAUCGGCGGUAGAGUCGGGGAUCACGACUGACAAGGCCGACAUGAUCUUCGCGAGCUUGCCAUACAAGAUCAUGGGCGAUGCCCAGCGAUGCAAUUCCGAUGCGAUCCGAGCCCACGACAAGGAUUUCUACGCCGCGCUCACCAAGACUGGAUUCAUGCUCGACUUUGGCGACGACGACUCGGGGCUCUUCAUGAAGUACCUCCGCCGUGGAUCCGGCUACUACAUCGACGUGGGCGCAUCCCAGCUGUUGAUCGACGGCGAGAUCAAGCUACGCAGUGGCGUCACCAUCGCGUCGCUCAAGCCGAGCUCGGU